RNAcentral lists this long non-coding RNA (71412 nucleotides) under Ananas comosus (pineapple). RNAcentral describes it as "long non-coding RNA (ACOM_LNC023010)". The record is from RNAcentral. Lineage: Eukaryota; Viridiplantae; Streptophyta; Magnoliopsida; Poales; Bromeliaceae.
UUAAAAAAUGAACCAAAUUUUAAAAUUUGAUAUUUAAAUUUAAAAUCAAAAUUUAUAUUUUAAAAUCUAAAAAAAAUUAAUUUAAUCUAAAUAUGAAAUUUGAAUAUGACUUCAAAUUUCAAAUUUCAAAUUUUAGGUUUUAAUUUUAAAAUUUCAAUUAAAAUCUUUAAUUGAAAAUUUUAAUUUUGAUUUUAAAUUUAAAUUCUGAUAUGUAGCACGUCUUUCGUGAUCCAAUACUAGUCACAGAAAAUACAAGCUAAGCAGCUAGUGGAUAAAACUUCAGUAAAAAAUUCUCCAGCAAUGUCUUAUUAGAGAGCUUUUGAUCUGUUGUUACGUAUUAAUUUUGUUUUAUUCAAUAAUUCGUUUGGUAGUUUUAAUAUUAAAAUUCAAAAAAAAUUUAAAGUCUUAAAAAAAAAUAAUUCUUGAAUAAAGAUAAGGGCGGCAUAUAGCAAUGAAUUGAGGCUUCUUGACGAGACGUUGUAAUAUUUUCUACAGCUAGUGGUAGUACUUCCAUUUUUUUUUUUUUAUAAUUUCAAAACUUAAUCGCGGAUAUAUUUUUUGAUGAUGCAAUGGAUCAAGAGCCUGAUUUCUCUAUCUUAUCUUAAUCCAACUGCUCAGCCUCGCAAUUAAUUACCUCAUACAUUGAAAUAAAUAAUCUAAUAAAUGGUUUUGGAUAACGCUAAUAAAUAUAUGGAGAGAAAUUAAGAUGUGAAAUUAUAAGAUAAGGUUUUUUUAUUUUCUAAAACAUAAAUUUUGUAUGAUUGGAUACGCCAAUAAAUAAAAUUAAUGUACUGUGACGGGUGACAAAUGAAAGCUUAAAAAAAGGAAAAAAAAAUUACAUUGAAAAUUUUAUAUCUUGUUACCAAAUAAAUAUGUAAUUUGGAAGCAAGAAUUGUAAUCAACCUGCCAUCCAUUUUUAUUUUUUUAUAUAAAAAUAUUAUUCAAUUGAAGUAUGACAAUAAUCUCAAACAAUGCCAUAAAAUUUUAUUUAAACAAGUAGUAGUAGCUAGUACUGAGCAUAAUUAUUUAAAAUUAUAUAAAAUAAUCACUUAUCUCUAAUCGAGUAAAAGUUUUUAGAAAACAACAUUUUGACAUUUUUAAUAUUUAUAUUAAUAUUUUUUUUUCUCACGUCUGAGUUGAAGAUAUUGAUAGACCAAAGACACAAGCUUGAAUCAAAUAAAAAAAGUAAAUAAAUAAUGUUAGUAGCAUGAUGGAUUGAACUUUUCAUAUUAAAUCGUAUGAAACAAUAGUUUAUCUUCAAUAAUUUAAAGUAAUAUUUUUAAUAUUUAUAUUCAACUAAUUAAAUGCGAGGGACAAAGCUACUUCCCAUAUUUGCUUGGAACUCUAAUUUAGAUUAAACUUCUAUAUAUUAUUUCUAAACCUGUGCUCUGGUUAUAAUAAUACACCUUUAAACAAUGGAUACAGAAAAUUUAUACCAUUGAAUAGUCAAUAUGAAAAAUGUGAACUCAAAAUCUCUUUGAAAUUGAGAGGGCUUAGGAUCAGCUCUAAUACCAUAUUAUUAAUCAAAAGAUUAUUUUAAUAAAAUUUUAUUGUGAAAUUAAUAAUCUUCGCAUUUCUACUUGAGAAAAAUUUACUAGAAAUAAUUUUUUUUUAAGAGAGAUAGGUAGUACACUACCCGCUUCGUUUAUUCCAUUUAGAAAUAAACUUAGCUGGAAAUAUGAAUCAACUAGGAUUCGAACUUGGAUCUCGGAUACUACUCAGACAAUCACAUUACGACAAAUAACACAUCAUGUUACAGUAGUCCCAAACAAAUCUUCAACUUGAUAUCUCGACAGGUGGCCACCAUAAUGUUAACUUUUAGUUACUAAAAAUUUCAAAAUACAAAGAAAGAAAGAAAAAGACAUAUUACACCUUAUAUAAUAGAUGUACACACCUUACACUUUACUGAUCUCAGAAUUUAUAACUUAUUUUUGGCCUGUAGUACUCCAGAAGGGUGAUUUGAUAAGUGAAUAAAUAAUAUUCUUUGGAUGAGUAGAGCGUAAAAUUUAUAUUCUUAUAAAUGAGUGCACAGAUUGUAUUUUUUAAAUUUUAAAAUAGGAGAAGGAAAAAUAGAUAAGAGUGAGGAGAUGAGGAGAGAAAGGACAAAUUAAUGAUAAGGGAGAGAUAUUGUGGUUUGGAUAAUUGGACCAUCCUAGGCUGAGAGCCUGAGACCCACCCCACCCUCAAAAAAAAAAAACAGAGGUGGGGAAUAAAGCAGCGACCAAAUUACAGUAAAGGAAAAUUUUCAAAUAUCACUUUUGUGGUAUCACAUUUUUUACUUUAUUAUUUUGUGAUUUAAAGUGUAUUAAUUUAGUACCUUAUAAUUUUAUUUUUAAUUUUUUAUUAUCGAUUUCACUAAUUUUUUUCGUUAAAUCAGUAACAAAGUUAAAAUUAAAGAGUACUAAAGUGAAUAUUCGAUAAACCUAAGUGGGUGUCUGAAGCUUUUUGUAUAUAAUUUAACAAAAUAUUAACAAAAAAGCUGACAAAAAAUAAAAAUGAAAUCAUAGGGCAUUAACUUGAUACACUUUAAACCACAUGGCACUAAAGUGAGAAAGUGCGAAACAACAGGAGUAGUAUUUGAAGUUUAUUCUAAAACAAAAAAUAAAGCGAAGCAAAACAGAAGCGGAGUUAAAAAGUAAAAAAUAAUAAUUAAUAAAAUAAAAAAAGCUAAUUCACAUAAAAAAAUUAUAUUUUUUGAUUUUAUAAAUUCGGUCCGAAUUUGUAGUAAACUGUCCAAAAUAUCCUUACAUCUUUUCUCGGCCCCUCCCACUACUGUAUUUAUACAUCCCACCAUUGCCUACUCCCCUUCACCCACCAGAGAAAGCCCAGCCCUUAUCCAUCCCCACAUAUCAAUUUUACCUCUAUCACAUCAUCCACCUCUCCAACCCCCCCCCCCCAAAAAGAAAAAACAAAACACAAAAGCCCCAGCCUCAAUUAUAAGCCCAUCAUAAUUCCCUCAAUCCGAUCCGACCCGAUCCGCGGGCCGCGGCGAUGGGCGGCAGCAGCAAAACCGUCGUCGGCGGCGUCAGCGGCAGCGGCGGCGGCGGCGGCGCCGGCCCGAGCGGAGGGAAGCUGCUGGAGAUUUUGAACGUCCGAGUCGUCGGCUCCGGCGAUCGGAUCGUGGUGUUCUCCCACGGCUUCGGCACCGACCAGUCGGCGUGGAACCGGGUGCUGCCCUACUUCCAGCGCGACUACCGCGUCGUCCUCUACGACCUCAUCUGCGCCGGCAGCGUCAACCCGGACCACUUCGACUUCGGCCGGUACAAGGGCCUCGACGCCUACGUCGAUGACCUCCUCGCCAUCCUCGACGCCCUCCGCAUCGACCGCUGCUUCUUCGUCGGUCACUCCGUCUCCGCCAUGAUCGGCGUCCACGCCGCCAUACGCCGCCCCGACCUCUUCCUCAAGCUUGUCCUCAUCGGCGCCUCCCCCAGGUUUAUUCGUCCCCCCCAAUCUCCCGCGGAAAAUAAGAAAGUCUGAAAUUUCUACUUUUCGGCACGGAAUUAAAUGAUGAUUUUCCAAAGCUGACUAUUUUUUAUUGUACCAAAAAGCAAUCAUGUCUCGUCCAUCAUAUCAGAUAGAUAGAUUAUAAAGAAAAGUUUGUUUUUUUUUUUACAAAAAAAAAAUUUUGAUUUAAAAGCGGGGCCAUACAGAUACUAAUUUUAAUAAUUGAUGCGUGGUUGUGAAGGUUCUUGAACGACCGGGACUACCACGGGGGGUUCGAGAGGGGGGAGAUCGAGCGGGUGUUCGCGGCGAUGGAGGCGAACUACAAGGCGUGGGUGAUGGGGUUCGCGCCGCUGGCGGUGGGGGCGGAUGUGCCGGCGGCGGUGCGGGAGUUCAGCCGGACGCUGUUCAACAUGCGGCCCGACAUCUCGCUGUUUGUCUGCCGGACGGUGUUCAACAGCGACCUGCGCCCCGUGCUCGGCCACGUCCGCACCCCCUGCGUCAUCGUGCAGACGGCCAAGGACGUGUCCGUGCCGCUGUCCGUCGCCGCGUACCUCAAGGACCACCUCGGCGGCCGCACCACCGUCGAGCUCCUCCCCAUCGAGGGCCACCUCCCCCACCUCAGCGCCCCCGCCAUCCUCGCCCAGGUUAUCCGCCGUUCCCUUGCCCGCUGACCACACCGCCCCGGUGGGCGGUAAUCGUCAUCGUCGUCGUCAUCGUUGUUGUUUUUCAGAAAAUAAUCUUAUGAGUGGCACUCACUCUUUUUGUUUCCGUAAAAGAUUCGAGCCAGUAGAGUGAUCAACAGCAGAUGCGAUCCCAUAUAUAAAUAUAUAUAUAUACAUAUUUUUUUCGAGAAACUUUUUAAUGUUCUCUUCUGUAUCUUCUGUAUCUUCUGUAUUUUAUAAUACUUUUGUUUUCGCAUUCUAUAGUUUAAAAAUUAUAUAUACUUUGCUAUGUUAUAGUCUAAUUUUUGUUUUACCAUAAAAACUUAUCAUUAAAGGGAAUAAUAAUAAUAAUAAUAAUAUAGUAUGUUUUAUAAACUACAAAAUAAUGGAGACAUAGUAUGUUACUACAAUUUCUACUUUGCUUAAUGGUAAGAUUUUAUAAUAAAAUAAAAAUAAAAUUAUGAAGUAUUAAUUUAUAAUUUUUUUAAAUUAUACGGCGAUGUUAAAAAUGGAGGUUUCACUGAUGACACGUGGAUAAUAAGGUGUGGACUUGUGCUUUUUCUUUGUUUUUAAAAAAAACCUUCAUACUUUUUUUUGUUUUUUAAUUUUUAGUAUUUCAUAAUUUUAAUUAUAAUUUAAGUAUUUUUAUAGUUUUUAUCUUUGUUUUUCAUUUGUUACAUCAGAUCCUUACAUGUGUUGAAGAUAUUCUACGAAAAUAGAUAAAAAAAAUAUGUGACCUUCUAAAACUGAUAACUGCAGCAUAUGAUUGAUUCGACUAAAAAAAUUAAUAAAAGAUAUAAUGAAAAAAAAAAUUAUUUAAUAUUUUUAUAAUACAGUUAAAAUUAUAUAGUAUUAAAAUAAAAAGACGGUAAAACACGUAGGAAUAUGUGAAGUUUAUUUGUAAUUUUUCUCAUCAGGAAAAAGUAUUUUUAUCACCACGUGGAGGUCACGUGAAAAUCCGCUCCGGGUUGCUUUUUCUUUUUCUGCGGAUAAGAUGGGAUUGGAUGUAAAUUUGAGGGUUUUUUUUUUUUAAAUCAUGAUAGUUUUUUUUUAAAUUUUUUUGUGAAUUUUAUGCUAGCUAUGCGCAAAAAGUACUUUAAUAUUCUUUGCUUCAGUUUCUUAUUUAAUAUACACAAUUUAAGAUAAAACUGUAAAAAUAUUCUCAUGACAUAUUAUAUUAUAUAAGGACAAAUAUAUAUCCUGAUGACAUACUAAAGCUGCUAUUUUAGGUAGGUAUUCUUAUAUUAGCUUUUUUUUUCUAAAGUCAAAAAAAAACUCCAACAGUUUCUUUCUCCAAAUGUUAAGUGCCUUGUACUUCUUGAUUAAUUAUAAAGUUUUCUUUUUCUAACCACUAUUACGAAAAAGCAUUAAGUACUUUACAUUCAAUAUCCCUUAAACCAUAAAAUGUCAGUUAAACGCCUAACUUUUACUUCUUUAAUUCAGAUGCUAGAAUUAGUCUUGAAAUCGAACCACUUUAAUUAGCUUAAAAAGUUUGUACAUUUUUUUGAAAUAAAACAAAUUAUUAUUUCAUAAGAAAAGCAUACUUACUAUUCUGUUGAAUAACGACUGAUGAGAUACUUUAGAAAACUACAAUCAAGCUCAUAACACGUAACGAAAGCAAACAAAAAUAUCCAUACCGUAGAAAUCGUCGUCGCUGAAUAGCUUAUUCUGAAGUUCAUAGAAAGCAAGAUUGAUGAUCAAAGAAAAAAGAUGCUUUUCGAUGAGAUAUGGGAAGAGAAAGAAAAGAUUUGGUGCUUAUGAUAGAAGGUUCUGUGAUGUGGAGGCCAUGGUGGUGAGGAAUCUAGGUUUUGGGGAUUAGUAUGGACCCAUGGGGGAGGAGGACAAAAUUGAAUGGAAGCCUUAUCCUUUUGAUUGGGAGCCACUGGGUCCUAUGUUUCCUUUUCACAACACAGUUGCCCCAUUGUCCCCUUCCGAUCGAUGCUCCAUCCUCGCUCUUCCGCAUUUACCGGUUGCAGACAGGGCACUCGCCUCUGGCUUUACUGUAGGGUGUAGUACUGAUUUAACUAUUGAAUACAGUAUUAACUGUAUGAUACAGUGCUAUUCAAUGAAGUAUCGACUCGUCAGCUGCCGGUGGGGUAUACACUCGCCUUUGACCUGACUGUAAAAAUAAUUCAUCUGCGAAAGUCAAUUGCUGGAUGGGAAUAGGGUACACUCCUUUGGCCUAUAUAAUUUUGUUAGAUGAAAUGUUGUUUAAGUAGUACAUUUACUAGCUAUAGGAGUAUUGAGUAGGUGUUUCUAUAUUUUUGCGUCUCAAAAUUUUGUUUCUGAUUUUUUUUUUUUUGCUACAGUAAAAUGGUCAAAUUUUUUUAUUUACCGAAUACUCUGUUGAAAAUGACAUUUGUUGAAAAUGAAAGCGACAGCCGGAGAAAAGAGACAUAUGAUGUAAGGUUUUUUUAUUAUUAUUUUUCAAUCUACAAAUGCAGAAGAAUUACGCUGAAAUGACCACUCUUUUAAUAAUUUUCGUAUGUUGUGUAGUUUCUUUUCAUUGAAGAGAGUAGAAUUGUUAAGCAUAUGUCUUGAAAAUUUUAAGUUUGACAUGCAUUGCUACAAACAAAAUUUCAAAAUUUCAACAGAGAGCUCUCGAAUACCCCCCAAACACGGGGAGGGCUCCUUUAGGUUCGCCUUUCAGUGUUUUGUAUAGAUUGUCGGUAUUAGCUUUGCUUCAAUAAAAAAAAAAGAAAAAAAAGUUCUAAAGGAUAGAGGGAAGGAUUAUAACUUUUUGUAUAGAGACAGAAUUGAUACAUAAUAGUGAAUAAGAAGCUUUUCAAGGAGGUAUCAUUGGGGAUCUCGCAAUUAGCCAUUCUAAAUUUGACAAGCUUUUGAAAAAGGUUAAAGGGAUUAAUAAGUUUCCCAAUUAACAUAUGAUCGACAUAUCGGUUAAAGUGGGAGAGCGUCUUUUAUAAUUUGGCAAAAUAGUUCUCCAAUAUAACCUACUCUCAAAAAAAAAAAAAAGAAAAAAAGAAACUCCAAUGUAACCUUGUACAUAAACCAAAUCAUCAUAGCAGUAGUGCUAAAGUACCUUGGUUAGUUGCUUACUACUGUGAGUUCAAUCUUAAGUUGCCCUCCAAAUGGUGAUAUUAUUUCAUCUCCUGCAGCCUAUGUAUAAAUCAGGGUCCCUAGAACUUCUUUUUUUUUUUUUUUGAGAGAGAUAGGUAGCACGCUACCCGCUUUGUUUAUUUUAUUUAGAAAUAAACUUAUCUGGAAAUGUGAAUCAACUAGGAUUCGAACUUGGGUCCCGAAUACCAACCACCAUGCAAGCACUUUACCACUUGCUCUAGGGACGAUCGGUGGUCCGUGGAAGUUCAAUCCUAAAUUAUGUAAUACUCAUAUAAAAACUGUUAAAUGUGAUACAUAAUCUCUGAGAAGUUCAAAUAUGAAAAGUUAUAAUUUUUGAAAACUUCUUAUCAAAAAGAAAAAGAAAAUCUAUUGUUCAUUCAUAAGAAUGAAACAACAUGCAAUGUUUUCUUACAGUGUCAACUAUGUUAAAUUAAUGUGUUAUUUGCUUAUAUAAGAAUAAAGAAUUGCAUUUUCUUUAUAUAUAUAUUUUUUGAAAUGGUAAGUAUUUACCAUGUCAAUUAGCAAGAAUUUACUACCUUCUUCGAAUAAAACUUCUAAUUUAAUUAGAACUGUUUAUUCAAAUUAUUUGCGUAAAAAUUAGUUGUUAAUCCAAUUUGUCUGAAAUAUAUGUCAUCAGACUUGACUUCAGAUCAACAAAAGAAAAAUGCUUCUCGGACUUGCAUUUUUGAAUGAAAUGUUUUGCCCGAAUUUGGAUAGUUUUUUGUUUGAAUCUAUCUUAUUUGUUUCGAAGAAAGUUCGAAGCAGGGAGAAAUAGAGAUGUUCUUCUGAACCAGAUCUAGAAAUCGGGCGAGGAGAGGCAAAAGUCGUGAGCGCCGACGAUAACAAAUAAAGUUUGAGAUCGCGUCUCACGAAGUCAUCAUGCAUCAUCAGGAGCUACUUUCUUCUUUGAUUUUGGGGGCGUUCGGAUCGACGAAUCUGUAGAUCCAACAUAACUCAAGUGCAGUAAUGUUUGAGUUUUUUUGAAGUGUGAUUAUUUUUUUGAUAUUUGUUUUGACGUAACUCGUAUAGUUUGAAAGUUAAAUUUAGUUUUUUUUUUUUAUGUAACUUGGUGUUAGUGAAAUUAGUUUUUGAAGCUUUAUUGGUUGUUUUUAUAUAAGUAAGUUGGUCUUGUUAUGUCCUAAAUAUAGUUAUAAACUUACCGCUAAAAAAUUUAACCUACUAUGUAAUAAAUUUUUAAUUAUUAUUUAACGGUAAUUCUAAUUUAUUAUAAAUAAGGUAAUUCUAACCCAUUAUAAAGGAAGUAGAGUUUAAAUUUUACUAUUUAAUAAAUUUUAGAGAAUGUUGAGUGUGGCGGAAGUCGAGUUUGGCAUUUUAGAAGAAAAACCGAGAAAGUCGAGAGUAGGUGAAGUGAACGUUUAACAUAACUUGAAUUACAUUAUAUUUUUGACUUAUACGAAAAUAAAUAAUGAAAGUGAUAAAACUUAAGUUUCAUCCCUCCAGUUACACUAAAACAAACGGACCUUUUGCCGCGCCAAAUGCUGGAUCUGCAAAAAUUGCAUAGAGUUUACCUCAGAAUCAAGUUUGAACGUCCCGCUUUAAUUGUUUCACUGCACAAACGAAAAAUAAAAAUAAAAAUAAAAAUAAAAAAUAAUAAAAAUAAAAAUAGAAAUAAAAAUAAAAUCCUGGUUAUUACGCUGACAUGUGGGACCCGCACGUCAGAGUCACAACCACACAGCUCACACCGAAAACUCCCACAAAACGCAGCGGAGGAGGGAGAAAGUGAUUUGCCUCCUCCUGCUUCGUUCCCUCUCCCAUGGCGAUGCGCUCCGUCUUCGACGGCGGAGCCCUACGAACGGAGUUCGAGAGCGCCGGGAUCAGCAUCCACUUCAUCCCCCUCAUUUGGAAGUAACAACCCCUUCUCCCUCUUUCCUCCCUCCGCCUUCUCCCUCUUUCCUCCCUCCGCCGCGCUCUUGACCUAGGGUUAGGGUUUCUCAUUCUCCUUCUUCUUCUUCUUCAGGCAUGUGCUCCAAAACCCUGGCUGCGACCUCGACUCCGUCCCCUCCCUCCCUUCUGCGGCAUACCCCCUCCUCAGGUCCAAGUUCCGGGCCAUGACCUCCUCCCUCGCCGCCGCAGUCGACUCCAAGGACCGCGACACCACCAAGCUCCUCAUCCGCCUCCAGGUACUAUACCCCUUUCCGAUCUCUAGGGAUUUUUACUCGGAUGCAUCGAUUUGAUCGAUAAGCGUAGUAGGAUCAUGGGAAAUGAGCUGUAGCGAAUGGUAUCAGUGUGCUCAACUAUCUUAUUAAGAAGAUAGACUCAUUUGCUGUGGUACAUUGUAUGUUACAAUCAAUUUCUCUUUGACUAAGUAAUUUAAUUGCAAAAGCACUAAUUGAACUGACGAUACCGAUAUAAUUAGGUUAGUAAGGUGUUUUAACGAACAAUAUAUGGUAUUAGAAACUUUGAAUUCAAAAGUGUUGAGUCAUGCUACCAAUCUUGUUGAUUUACAGUUGUCCUUAUGUCUCACUGAGAAGUGGGUAACAGCUUCUGAGCUUCAAUUUCUUUACGAAUUAUGGUUUUGCCUAGUUGACAAGUCUCUACUGUAAGAUUGUUAGACAGGCCAGAACAAGGGCCUGUUCCGGCAUUGCUGUAUGGUUCACCGCUGUUUGAUGAAGUUGUGUUUGAGCAGUGCUAUCAGAAGAACACUAUACUUUAUUCUCAACAGUUUUUUACCUUUUUUCCGCCAAAUCAGAAGCUCAAGAUUGGAGCUUCUGCUUUUGGGCCCUAAAAUCACAUUACUACUUUAGUCGUAUCUAGUUGCAACUAUAUAUGGAAUGGAAAAUAUCAUCCUUUGUAAUUCUUUAUAACCAGAAUGGCGCAUUUGUGGAAGCUGUAAUCAUGAGAUAUGACACGCGGUUGGGGAAGUACAAUGGGAAUCCUCGUCCUGGAGGUGUAAGAUCUACUCUGUGUGUCUCAUCACAGGUAUAAUCAUGAUUUUGUUUUUUUUUGUUCUUUGCUCUGGUUGCUUUUAAUCUGUGGGAAGAAAUUUUACCUUGUUAGAAUAUAUUUUUUGCUCCUAUUUAUGUCUCCUUCUCUAAUCUUACCAUGUUGUUCAGGUGGGGUGCAAAAUGGGUUGUAAAUUUUGUGCUACCGGAACCAUGGGUUUUAAGAACAACCUGUCAACUGGAGAAAUUGUCGAACAGUUAGUCCAUGCACAACAGUUCUCGCGGAUUCGCAAUGUUGUUUUCAUGGUAAUUUUUCUAGGUAUUUAUGUUGAUGGCCAUAAAAUCCUAUGAUUGUCUUCAUAAGAUAAAUUUCCUGGUUGAUUAAUUUUUUGUUGUUGAAUGUGUUUGCUAGAAUAAGUAGAAACAGAAUUUAAAAUUUAGGUUAUUCUGUAUAAAUACAGUUGUGUUCCGUUUUUCAUGUUUUGUUCUGUUCUGCAAUAAGAAUCUUAAUAGCAGAAUUUUAUUUUAAGAAUUUGUCAAUUUGUUCUAUUUAGCUUCCCUUUACAAAUUUUGAGAACUAUUUAAUCUAUUCUUCUUCGUUUUUGGUCGGGUUUUUUUUUUUUUUUUUUUUUUUUUUUUAUUUUCUUUUUUUUUUUUUUUUUCUUUUUUUGCUGUUGUGCAUUUAUAAUUUGUUUGGUGUCCAUCUUAGCCGAAUAACUAUUUUACCAGUUGCCAAAUAAAUUUGAUAGACACUGUUGAGAAUUAUACAGAUAUAUUAUGUUUCCUGAUACAUUAGCAUUUAAAAUUCUUAUUGCCAAUCCUGUAUGCUCUGAUUAAUCCAGUUGAUUUAUGAUGAACAUGCAGGGGAUGGGGGAGCCCUUGAACAACUAUAAGGCUUUAGUGGAAGCAGUCGAAAUCAUGACAGGACUCCCUUUUCAGCUGUCACCAAAAAAGAUUACUGUAUCAACUGUAAGUAGCCUUAAAUGUUUUUGCUGUCGAGUAUUUUAUUUUUUGAAAUACUUUGGAGGAAUUAUUUUGUCUUGUUUAUUAUAACUUGAUUUGCUACAUUUUGUGUUUUUUGAGAUUCUUAUAUUUUUUGAUAAAUCCAGAAUACAUGUCACAUCACUUGAUGCAGAGUCACUGAAUGUAAAAAAAUCUUAAGCAAUGAAUUUGCUAAGAAGCAUGACAUUUUUCUAUCAUUGAUAGGGGUGGAAACGAGCCGAGCUCGAGCGAGCUUACCUCGGCUCAAAUUCGGCUUGAAAUUAAUUUCGAGCCUAAAUUUAAGCUCAAGCUUGGAUUGAAAUUAAUUCGAGCCGAGCUCGAGCGAGCCUAAUUUCAAGUCGAGCGAGCUCGAGCCCGAAACGAGCCGCUUGAAAUUCUCAACAUUAUACGAUCAAUAGUUUAAUUUGUAUAAAACAUUAUCUAUAAUUUGAUACAAAAAUAUGUCUAAUAGUUCAAAGUACAAAAUAAUCAUAUGAAAUAUAGUAUUAUAAUAUGAAAAAAAAUAAUUUAUGGGUUGAAUAUCUAAUUUUUUCAGCCUCACAUGUUUUUUCUUCCGCCUUCAAUCUCUAUAUUAUUCAUUUUCAUUUAUACAGUCAAAAAUAAAUAAAUUAUAUAGAUAAAUAUUUGAUUAAACUAUCCAAUCAUAUAUAACUAAAAUUAAAAUUUUAUAUGAAUAAUAAUUUUUUACUUUAAAAAAUAUUUGUAUAUUUUCUCAAGCAUAAUAUUAAUAGCAAGGUAGCCAAUGGCGGGCAUAUAAUGUUACUUGGUAACUUAGAGGGCUUCCGACUUGGCCACUUAGGGUGAGAGACAGAAAAAGAGAAAGAGAGAAACAUAUUGAAAAUUUAGAGCUCUGUGAAAGAAAGAAAGAAAGGAAAAAUAUAUAAAAAUUUAGUAAAAUUUUGUCUCUUUUAUUUGUCUAUUGGGUUUGUUUUAUAUGGGCAACAACAUUGGCCCAAUUUUAACUAAACUCUGAUUAUUCACUCAGCCUAUAUAUAAUAUAAAAUAUAUUAUAUUUAUAUAUUUUUAAUAUAUAUAUAGUUAUAAAUAUAUAUAUAUAUAUAUAUAUAUAGUGGUAGAAUUACUAUGCUAUCAGAAAACAUAGAGGAUUUUAUAUUUUUGAAUAUUUGACCCUUUGAUUAAAAAUUAUAUGGUUGGGAUGAUUGCGGUCUCCCCUAGAAUUAAAUAAUACUCUUAGGAUUGAGUGGUCCCUACAAGAUAAUAAUAAUAUUAAUCCAAAGAUAAGAAAUGAUUAAAGGGAUUGAUCUAAGAAUCAAAAAAUCGAAAGCACCAGAUCUCUAUACUUUUGAUAGUAUAGUAACUUUACUAUAUAUAUAUAUAUAUUCGAACUUUUCGAGCUUUUCGAGCCUAAUUCGAACGAGCCGAGUAAUACUCAAGCUCGGCUUGAAAUGAAUUUCGAGCCUUUUUUUUUUGUUCAAACUCGGCUCAUUUAAUUUCGAGUCGAGCUCGAGCGAGCCAAAUAUCGAGUCGAACGCGAGUCGAACGCGAGCCGGCUCGCUCAUUUGCCAGCCCUAAUCAUUGAUGGCAAGAAUAAUUAUUCUAUAAGGACUUGUUACCCAUCAAUAAGCUUUUUGAUUUCUAUAUUCUGCUACUUAUCAUGAGGCUGCAUCAAUUAUUUAUAUUUUUGCCAUUUUCCUAUUAUACUUGUUUAAAGUUGUCCGCUAGUCUUACUUGCAGUAAAAGGUCCAUUUCCAAUUUUUAUGUUGCAGUUCUUCUACUUUGUAAGCUUCUUAUUGUGACCAAAACAGUUGUAUGAAUUUCAGACUUAAGCUUUCAUAUCAUUGAGCUAUUCUAUUACUUAUAAAUAUUUUCCUAUUACAUCAUUUUCAAAUAGAUUUUAGGUUUUUCCAUUUAUUUACUACUUUGGCAUUAUAUUUGGUACUUUUGUGAGAUGAAUCUUCAAUUCUUGAUUCUCUAAGGGAUUUUUAAGUCACUUUUGGUUUGUAAUACUAUGCUUGUAAUUAUGGAAUCAUUAAGGCUUCCAAUACUCUGGUAUGAUUGUUAGAAUCAUUAGAAUAGGGUAACCAAAUCAAGAUAAUGCCAUCUAUAAGGUUUCCCUUUUUCCUGUAUGUUGUCUUUUGUAUGUGUUAAUACUUGCUGACAUUUUGCUGGCUGAUAGCUACCAACUAAGAGUGGCUCAAAUAUAGGUGUCAAAUUUAUGCCAAUCUAGUCUGACUUUUUUUUAAAAAAAUUGCUAAAUUGCUUUCUGACAAUGUUAGAUCAUUUAUGUAUAUGAGAACCAAACCCCAUUAGAUUUUGAUAGUGCUGCUUUCUUGGGAAGACUAAUGCUUAGUUGAAGGAUAGUUAGGAAACUGAUUGAGGCUUAGAAAUGUACACUUCCUGCAACCAUCAGUAUACUGCCUGAGAGAAUGUUGGAAUCCUCCAACAGCCCUUAAAGAUCAAAGAAGAUUGGGGAAUCUUACUGACAAUUGGAGUGUUAUGAAUUUCACUUUUAACGUAAGGUUGAUCAGCUAUGGGAAAGAAUCUUACUGAUGAUAUGAGUUACCUCUAAUGACUUUCAUCUAUGAUUACAAUGGCUGUUUGAACUAACACAGAAAGCCAGGACGCUGUUAUUCAAGUGGAAAUAAUUGCAUAACAUUUCCUUCUUUAAUGCUAUUUGGUUUACUUCUUCCUUGUCAAUUCUUUCCUACAAAGAUGAAAUCUUAUCUUUGGUUGCUACAUCAGCACUCUUCUAAUUCUAUUUCAAACACCGAGAAAGAACCGUGUACUCAGAGUGUUGGAUACUCUUGAUCAAACUUUGCUGUUGUCCAGCGGGUAAACUACAAAUAUCGUCCAUAAUUCAGAUUAUGAUCUGUCUUCUUUUGCUAAUGUUAAAAGCAAUGACUGUUUUGUUAGUUAUAUUUUGAAAAAGUUAUUCUUAUGUAUGUCUUGUCUGAUUCUAUUUUAAUGUUCCAUAACUUUCUUCUGUAGGUUGGGAUCAUACAUGCCAUAAACAAACUCCAUGAUGACCUUCCGAAUGUGAAUCUAGCUGUUUCAAUACAUGCUCCAGAUCAAGAUAUACGUUGUCAGAUAAUGCCUGCUGCUCGAGCUUUUCCUCUAGGAAAGCUCAUGGAUGCAUUACAAACUUAUCAGAAUAACAGGUGAAAGCUUCGAAGAAACUGCUUAACAAUCUCUGUUUGUUUUGAUAGUUAUUGUGCAGUACGUCAUGACAAUAGUGAACUCUCUUACUGCAGCAAACAGACCAUCUUCAUUGAGUACAUCAUGCUUGAUGGGAUCAAUGAUCAGGAGCAGCAUGCACACCAGCUUGGCAAACUUCUAGAAACGCUUAAAGCGGUGAGCUACUUUUCUUGUACAAUUGUUCUUUUUUACCUCCUAUAACAUAACCUGUAUAACUCGAUGUGACUUUGAGGUGAUAUUAAUUUAUCGAUUUUUUUACUUUUUGGAGUUUGUUUCUUGAAAUUCAAUCAUAUGUUGCAGUCCGUAGCUGUAGUCUUAAAAGUCAGGUGGCCCUUACAAAAAGAAUGUAGGUGGAAUCGUUCGGAAUAUUUGUAUUGUUGCAUCAGCUGCUUUGUGUCGUUUCUUCUUCCUCGUCAGUAAAACUUGUGGAUUUGACAUUCCGAAUAUUUUGUUGCAAUUACUGCUGGAUAGAUAUAUCAUAUACGCGCCUAUCCUGUUUCUUUGCAGUAUUCAAAUUCUUUCAAAUACUUGCUUUCCUAUUCACCUGCAACUAGCAAUCUUUCUUCGUACUUCAUUUGAUGCGGCUGAGGAAGUCUAAAUAUUGAUCUUCUGAGAAUACAUGAGAGCUAUUCCAUGACUUGUGGGCAGCUUCGACCUCCGUUUGCUAUAAUGUAGCAGUGAAAACUUUAUUCAUUGAUGAUGAAUCUGUUACGACUUUCUGACUCAAAUCUCUCUGGAAGCAGGUCGUGAACUUGAUACCUUUCAAUCCAAUCGGCAUAUCGAGUUGUUUCAGAACCAGCAGUGAGCAGAAUGUGAAGAGGUUUCAGAAGAUCUUAAGAGGUGUCUAUAACAUCAGAACGACGGUUCGCCAACAAAUGGGUCAAGACAUAAGUGGGGCUUGCGGCCAGCUGGUAGUCAAUCUCUCCGAACAGAGAUCAGCUGGCGGUGCAUCCCUCUUAACUGACAUCGAAGAUCUUCGUAUCUAAUAUUGCUAUACAAGCAUCGCUUACAAAUUUCAGAUGAAUUCCAUCUUCCUUCAGUCUGUUUUUGUGAGGUGCACAUCUCUCUCCUCGUUCACACUGUUCUUCUGCUUACCUUUCCCCCCAAGUAUAGAGGUGUUAAUUUGACUUGUUAAUAUAGCCGAAGCUUUGUUUGAUUUUGUAAAUGCUAAAUGACAUGAUAGAACUGAUGUUACCAACACUGUCGCCAGCAGUGAGUUUUGGCACACUACAUCACACGUUAAUAUGAGAUAUAAGAAUAGUCCGUACAUGGCUUCUUGUUUUGUUGCUUGUUCCUUAGGUUAUAUCAGAGGCUUCAUUGUUUACUGUAAAGUGUAAACAACAAAUGCAUCUUACCUUGACCUGGAGCUUAAGGCCUAGUUUGGGGUUGCGGUGUGUCAAAAUAUCCAUUUUUAUACUUCGAAAGGUCUCAAAAUAUUUGAAAGCCUUUCCAAUCUUCCCUCCAAUGCAAUAAAAUCCAGCGGGAACCAUCAUCUGAGGAGCAAUCUAAUACAUGCUUUUUCACAGCAGUUCACACGGUAAUUUUAUAGCAUCGGAGGAAGAUCAGGUAAGUGCUUUUGAGAUUCUUCUUGAGUCUUUCAAAAGAAUGAAAAUGAGUGCUCGUAGUCAUCACAAUAUCAAACUAGAUCUAUAAAACAUUUACCAAACAGGCCGUGCAGGCCUUGGCCACAGGUCGGCCCGUCACGGCCCGCAUCCUGUUACUUUCCGUUAGUCCCGUUUUUUAUUUCUGGAUUACAAAUUCGAAAAACAAAAAUAUAAUUUGUUCAUAAAAUUUGAAAAAAAAAAAAACUUUUAAAAAAUUAUUUUUUUUUAGAAACUAUCUGAACGUAAAAUUUUUCUCAACUAAAAAAUUAUUUUCUGAAAUAUUAUCUGCAAGAGCAAACACCCACCACCUAAAUAAUUAAUCGGAGUGGAAACUCACACAUUCUCACUGACACGUGGACACCACAUUCCCAAUGUAUGUAUCCAAUCAAGAUUAUUAUGGAACACGAGUUUCAAACUUGCAUAAUUUUCCCGGCCAGUGGGAUUUAAAUAAUUAGUCGCAUAGUUUGGAGGGGUGAGAUGGCACAUGCAGCUAUUCGAUGGCCACUGGGAGAUCUUAUUGCCCGGACCAGGUCCACCAUGGACUGAACCUGCCACUUAAAAUAAUACAAUGUAGAUUGGUUUUUUUUUUUUUUUUUUUUUUUUUUUUUUUUUUUUUUUUUUUUUAAGAGAUAAGUAGCACGCUGCCCGCUUCGUUUAUUUCAUUUAGAAAUAAACUUAGCUGAAAAUGUGAAUCAACUAGGAUUCAAACUUGGGACCUCGGGUAUCAACCACCAAACCCUUUGCCACUUGCUCUAGGGACGAUCGGUAAUACAAUGUAGAUUGUUGAGCUUUUAUAAGGGAUCGUUUUUAGCUGUUCGAUGUGGUACACUAUUUUAGGGCUGCCGCGGCUGCCAACGAGCUGAACACAAGCGAGCCGGAGCAGACUAGUGUUAGCUUAUUUAUUAAACAAACUAAACAUAAACUGGCUCAUUAAAAUACCAAACUGAAAAAUUCAACUUGUACUCGAUUUUGUUAUUAACAAACUAAACACAAGCUAGCUCACAAACAACAAAUUUGAUUGUCAGUCUUACAUUUCGACUUAAGAAAAAUCAAAAUUCUUAAUCUAAUAAUUACAAUUCACAAAGUAUAGAUUUUCUUUACACUUGGAUUGUUUUAAAAUUCAAAAUAGUAAAACUUUGUAAUAUAACUAUAUCGAAUUGAAUUUGAUGAGCAAAUCCCAGCUUAUGCUCGGCUCGUUAAAAUUUUAAAUUGUUAAGAUUUCAAAUCGAAAAAUUCAACUUAUAUUUAGCUCGUUUAUUAAACAAACGAUCGAUCUCGAACUCAUUUCCAACUUAACAUGAGCUGUCUCACGAAUAACUAGUUGGAUUGCCAACUGUACAUAUGAAUAAUCAUAACUUUUUAAAACUUCUUAUAUCAUAAAUAAAAGUUCUUCUAAGAUUUUUUAUUUUAGGACUAAUAGAUUUCAAAAAACUUUUGUAGGUUGUGAACCUCAUCUUAGUAUUUACAAGAUUAUAAAGAUUGCAUGAAUAAACAUUGUGGAUCGGGUUUUGAGUAAUUAGUUAGAUUACAUCCGUGCAAUAAUUUUUCUUUUUUAGCCAAAGAAAUUACUAUGUGCUGAACUUUAUAUAUUUUAUUAUAUAUACCGUUUUCUAAAACUAGUUAUUAAAAUUAAAAUCUAAUUUAAAUUUAAUGACUUUAAAAAUUGAAAAUUUUGGUCCUCAUGAAAUUACAAAUUUGGUCCUCAACCUAUGAUUGAUGACAUUUUAGUUCUCAAAUUUUAAUUUACUGUAUUUUUAUCAUGAACUUUCAGAAUUAUUACAAUCAAGUUAUAUGGCCUGAAUUAGUUAACAAAAUAUUAAUAUAUCACUAACGUAGAAGCAAUACGAUGGUGUUGUAAUUGAUAAAAUGCCAAUAAUUAAAAUUAUCGUCUCAUUUAAAUCAGCGAUGCGUUAAUAUAUAAUCAACUAAAUUUUAUUGUGAAAUUUGAUUAUAAUAAUUCUGAAGAUUCUAGCCAAAAAUUAAAAUAAUUUAAAAUUUGAGGACUAAAAUCAAAGUUUAAAGUGCCGUGGCACGGGGGCGUACCGUUAUGUUCCUAGCAUGGUACGGUACAGGCACGCUUACGUGCCGACACGUGACACGCUUGCGUGCCGAUAGAUACGCGUGACCUACUACUGGCAUGCUUUAGUACGGAUUUAUUUCAGUUUUUUUGGUUCUAAUAAACUUUUAUAAUGUUAUUUUGAAAGAUUUAAAUAAAUAAUUAUGAAUAUUUAUUACAUAUACCUUACUAUACUCAUCAAUUAAUAUGCAUGUAAACUUUUUAUAAAUAAAAUACAACUAUACCUGAUAUAGAAUAGAAAUUAAAAUACAAUAAUAAAAUUCACAAGUACAAUAAUUAUUUAAAUUUAUAUCUUUUUAUAGAGAUGACUGCUUAAUUCGACAUAGAUCGUCACGCUUGAUCAUAUGGCGUAUUGUCAUCUGCAGAUACAAGAUUUAUUUGACAAUAUUGAUAUAAAUAUUGCCGGUAUUGUGAGAAAGUCAUAUAUUCUAGAUAUUAUAUCUAUAUUUUGUUCUUUUAUUCUUUUUAAAAAUAUCUGAUCAAAAUUUGUUUAGGAGAUCGAUUUUUGUUCCCUUAAUUCACCGAAAGUUUCGCGGUGCGAUAAUUUUUGACAAAAUAUUUUACGAAGAAAAAAUGGAUGUCUGUAAUGAAAACGGAAGGCUCGGGCCGACAUGGUACGGCACGUACGGCAUGGGCGGCACCUGAAUCCUUGACUAAAAUGUCACCCGCUCAUUGUUUGAGUACCAAACAAGCAAUUUACCCUUCAAGAUAUUAAUUGCUAGCCAAAUAUUUGGCACGGUGCACAGCAUGUACGGGUACACCGGGUGCAGGGAAUUCUUUCUGCAGUUGUUCGUGGUUUUUAUUAGUGACUCGGCGGUCACCCACCUUCUCCUUCCCGCGACAUCUCUCCUUCCUCUUCGUCUCUCUCUCUCUCUCUCUCUCUCUCUCUCUAUAUAUAUAUAUAUAUAUCUAUAUAUAUAUAUGUAUAUACAGAGAACCAAAACCCCGCGAACACCGUCCCCCUCCGAAACCCUCGCUUCGCCCCUCCUCUCUCCUCCUCCUUAAAUAUACCCUCAUCGAUCGAUCCAAUGACUCGCCCCAUCGCCUCCUCCUCCUCUCUCUUCGUCGCCACCGCCUCCUGAGGGAGGGAAAUGUUCGCGCUCGCGCCUCCGCCGCCGCCGCCGCCGCUGCGGAGCUUCGUCGCGCUCGCGACUACGACGACGACGAAAUUAGGGUUUGGACUCCCUGGGGCGAGAUCGAGGGCGCCGCGGCCGAUUACGGCUGCGGCAUUGGACGGGGACGACGAGGCGCGGGCGGGGUUUAGGGGUCGGAGGCAGGGGGCGGUGGAUCCGACCCUUGGGAGUUCGUCCGGAUCAGGUAUAUUGUUUUCUUGAUCUGUUUAAAACCUUUUUGUGUUUUGGUGUGUUUCUUUUUUUUUUUUCUUUUUUUUCUUUUUUUUUUUUUUCCAUUCCAUGGAUCUGAUGGUGUAAUCUCACAAGAAUCUUGCGGGAAGAGGUUAAUGUCGACGAUCUUGUCGUUAUUCAGGGUAAAAGUACUACAAGGAAACCUCCACAACUAUUAGCCACUGUGAAUUAGGCCCUUUGAAAAUCGUUUUUCUUUUUAAUUAUUAUCAUUUUAAUUGACGCGAUUGCUUUGAUUAAAGCUAUAGCAAUUAGAUGAAUCGGGCAUUUUAAUUUAAAGAAAAAAAAAGUAGAGGGGCCCCUCUAUUUGAAAAUUUGCUCGGGGUAGUCUUUAUAUCAUCGUAUUCUGGUAAUUGAUUUCAUGAUUCAGAUGAACUGAAUUUAAACAGAAUCUAGAAUUGAAAUUUAUAUCAUCGUAUUCUGGUAAUUGAUUUCAUGAUUCAGAUGAACUGAAUUUAAACAGAAUCUAGAAUUGAAAGUAAUUACACCAAAUCCAUUUUUAUAGGGGCAAACGAGAUUAUUAUAUAUGGUGAAAUUCGGACCGAUCAUGUUCAAGGAAUUGACCUGUUAAUAUUAAAACUAGCUCUAUUGCUGGAAUUACGCAGCCAAAAUGCCUGCAAACCUCUCUUGGAAGAUUAAUUCAAGAGAAUUUUUAGUUUUAUCGAUAAUCUAGAAAUAAAUUUCCACUGCCCAGAAAGCAUAUGUUGAUCCGAGUCCUAAAUUUGCUUUCUAUAGUUAUUGGUUAUAAGAAAAGACCAUUUGUGGGAUGGUGGGACCUUUGAUGUUGGGAAUGUUGGCGAAAGAUAUUUGUUUGAAAAGAAGCAUACCAUGCUGGUGGGCCCAUUUAUCUCCCAGUGAUAGGGCAACAAUAUAUUGAAAAUUUGUCAAUCCAAGGCACUUAAAAAGUGCCCAAGAUAAAAAAAAAAAGAAGAAAAAGAAUGAGAUAACAAGGUAAGGAAAUUCUUUUGAGAUUUUUGGCUUUCUUGUUCUGAUGGAAUUUUUUGGUUAAUCUGUGACUCAGUACAUGUAAAUUCUAAUAUGAAAGAAUGUUUCAACAUCUUAUUGUGAGUAAUCUUUUAUAGAAGUACUUCGUUAGUUGGUUGCAAGUCAGAAACCAAAUUCUACAACUGGGACCUUGAUGUCUAGGAUGGUUGGCAAUGAUGAGAUAAAAGAAGCAUUGUGGCCUUGUGGGACCAUACAAGUCAUUGUCAUAUGAAGAGUAGCUAUUGAGGGCUCCUAAUUGGUAGAAUAUGGAAAACAGAAAUGUUGUACAACAAUAGAAAUCCUCUUAACUGGAAUAUGUGCCUGUUUGGCCCUGCUUCUACAUCUUGUUUCUAGGAGUAAAUUCUCAACAGCAUACAACUAUUGUCAUACUGUUGUCCUUCAUUCAUGAUGAAGUUCCAUCUGCUUAAUAUUUUUUUAAUAUAAUUUGCAAUUGAUAGCUAUGGUAGUUGACUAUUUCUAGUUCAAAAUUAUUUUGAUCAGCCAUCAUCCAGAGCAUUUUAUUUUUCAUUUCUGGAGGCAAGUUCAGUUGCCUGCAGUUAAUCUCAAUGAAGAAUCAACAGUCUGACUCUUUGAGCUUCACAUAUUUUUUACUUGGUGGUUCCUUGCAUAAUAAUUUCUUGACUUCCACAUAAUGUCGAACAGAAGAGAAAAUUUCACUGAAUAAUGCAUGUUACUCUUGAUGAUUUGCAUAGAAUCCAUUUUGGUAGCUCUUCCACUUAUGUUGAAUCAAUGAACAUGUGAUACAAUCGGACUAAUAUGAUAAAGCUUGGUUUUACAGUUGCAUCACCAGAUAAUAUACCAUUUUGUUGUUCAUUAUUACCAAUGGAAGCAAUCUGUUUUCACUCUUUUGCUGUAAUGUUUCUUCACAUGCUUUUGAUUUUGUUAGGAAUGGAGAAUGUUGUGACUGUCGGAAAAUCGACAAACAUUUUAUGGCAUGAUUGUCCAAUUGGAAAACUCGAAAGACAAAUGUUACUGAAGCAAAAGGGUUGUGUAAUUUGGAUCACAGGCCUCAGUGGUUCAGGUCUGUAAUUUUCUGUUUGCUCUCUUUAUCAUUCUAUAAUGAAGCAUUUUCGGUUUCACUUUUAUAUUGGUGCUCUGGGUGAAAGGGAUUUGUAAUGUGAAUCAGAGUCUCCUCUUUAAUGAAAUGACCAUGUUUUCUUGUUUCAGGAAAAAGCACUCUUGCUUGUGCUUUGAGUAGAGAGCUACACUGCAGAGGGCAUCUGACUUAUAUCCUUGAUGGUGACAAUCUUAGACACGGCCUUAACCGGGAUCUUAGUUUCAAAGCAGAGGAUCGUGCAGAAAAUAUACGCAGAGUUGGUGAGUUUAUUUAGAAUUGAGUCAUUUCUUUGCUAUCAUGAACACAGACAGAUACAUUCAGAAUAAACAAUUGCUGGGGUAAUCAGAUAUUUUAUGGCCAUUUUGUUGAUUUUGCUUCAGCUUGUUGCUCUAAGAGACUAGCUUUUGCAUUGCUUCAGCUUGUUGCUCCAAGAGACUAGCUUUUGCAUUGCUUCAGCUUAUUUUAGAAGUUUCUCAUCUUCCAAUAUUCAACCCACUUUACUGUGAACUAUUUAUAAUGGAAUUCUUAUGGACAAGUAUUUAAACUAGAUUAUGUUUUCAUCACUUCUUGAUUACCUGUCUUUUUGUAGGGGAAGUAGCAAACCUCUUUGCAGAUGCUGGUGUUAUAUGCAUAGCUAGUUUGAUAUCGCCAUACAGAAGAGAUCGAGAUGCCUGUCGUGCUCUACUUCCAGAAUCCACAUUUGUCGAAGUAAUUGCUCAAUCUUUUUGAAUUCAAAAUGUUAGUUUACUUUUCUAUUAUGAGUUGUUUAAUAAGGCGGUAGUAUUGCAGGUCUUCAUGAAUGUUCCAUUAGAAGUUUGUGAAGCAAGGGAUCCAAAAGGAUUAUACAAGCUUGCACGUGCAGGAAAGAUCAAAGGUAUUUUCCAGUUUAACAUUCAACCACUUUCUUACUUCAGGUGCACGGAUUUGUUUCCCUAUUACCAUUACUUAAAAAUAAUUUUCAUCUUGGAACUUAAUAUAAAUUUCAACUUAUUAGCGUAUUUUGAUAUGCAGGUUUUACUGGAAUAGAUGAUCCGUAUGAGCCACCCUUGGACUGUGAGGUAAAUAUAGACAGCUCUGAUAGAUACCAAAUGUUGGAAAGUAAAUAAAUUCGGUUCAGCAUGGCUGUACUAUAUAAAUAUAGACAUCUCUGUUAAACUAUUCGGAAGUAGUAUUCAUCUUCUUGUCAAAUAUCAACGAGUUUUGCUGCAGGUUUAACUUCUGUUUGGGGUUCAUGUUAACUGUGAUCUGUAAAUAAUAUGCUAGGUGGAUGAUCAUACCAGCUAGAUUAACAUCUAUCAACGAAAAGACUGUCAGAUUUAGUGAUGUAUAAUUGAACAGUAUCUAAUGGGCAAAUCUUAGUACAAGCUUUUAAACCAUGGAAAUCUUUUUCAAUAAAUGCGGAGAAAUCUACACAUUUCAGGUGUACUUAGUUCUAGGAGUCGAGCACGCAAAGAAAUGAGAUGGCUUAGUGCUGCUUCUUUGGUGCCAUGUUUGCCUGAAGGAUUAACCAAAUAGUUAACAGCCAAGGUGUAGACUUAUCAAAAUACACUUGAUAAGCGUCUGUCAGUUUGAAAUGUGUGAAUGCAUCUAAGUUGACUUUGCCUCAAGCUGCAUUUAGCUGAAUACUCUGACAAGGUGUUCCUUUUUCAACUUUACUCUUGUUUAUGAUCCUGCGAAAGGAUCAUAAGUGAAACAUGAAAUGUUGGAUUCUGCAAUUUAUUCAAACAAUGGAGGUACAAUAAUCCUGGACCAUCGUAACAGAAAAUUGAUGGAUAUUAAUCAAUCAACCUUGUUGAUAAGUGGUCGUAACUCUUCAUUGGACCACAGUAAUAGUCUUUUUGGCCUUCAUAUAUUCAUGCAUGUAUGCUGUCCUACCUUUUCCUGUUGCCAUUGGUAAGACUCAGAAAAUCUGAUUGGGAUUCCGCAGAUAGUUAUACAAUUGAAAGACGGGAAGUGCCCUACACCGAAAUGUAUGGCCGAGCAAGUGAUAUCGUACCUUCGAGAGAAGGGAUUUUUGCUGGGGUAGAUGGACUUUAGCUGUAUUCACAGCUCUUGCAGGCUGCUCGCUGGAAAAUGUUUUCAGAUGCCGAUUUUUGAAGUAUAAUACGAAUGAAACUGCACUGUGGGCGCCUAAAGCUGCAAUAUAGCGUCACUGUUUUCCUGUGCAUUUAUACAUUGUACAUGUAUAAUACAUACAUAGUCAGCAUCUUGUUCAUAUCAUCAUUUUUUUUUUUGGUCCAUUCCUAAUGCGGUUAUGCAUUUCAAGUAUGCUGCUUCUGUUUUCUUCGUCUUUUUUUUCUUCUUUUUUUUUUUUCUUUUUUUCCUUUUUAUCCUCCCUCAUCCCCUAAGGCUAGAAGGGUGUAUUUCUGUUAUGUACAGUGACAUGUGUACGGGGCAUUAGACAACAUUAAUUGCUGAUUGUUCAAAUAGCAGAAUUAGAAAAGUAAAGAAUUCUUGGUAGAAAAUUUGACUCAUAUUUUGUUCGCAAAAAUAAUUCACUGCUAGUUCUGAUCAUAAGUUUAAUGCAUGCAUAUAUAUGAAUAAAUUAAACAUAUUUGGUUUUAGAAAUCAUAUUCUGUUCGUGUGGAUAUGGAAUUAUGGAUUCACAUGUCGCAAAUAUUUCAUAUAUCUAUAAUUCUAUCCAAAACGUAAUAACAAACUAUAUGCUUUUGUUAUUUUAAUUCCUUCACUGUGCUAACAAAUCAUAGAUUGGCAUGGUAUAUAUAUUGGUAUGAUAGAGACAUCGAAAAGAAUGGGAUAGAAAAUUUCAACAAUAUUUAUAUAUACAAAAGUAUCUGUGUAAGGAUCGAAUCUGACUAGUAACAAAUUGUAAAUAUCUAGUAAAACUUAGAUUCUAAAAGCAUAUAUUUUUUUGGGCUCAUUUUGCUUGUCACGACAGCCUCCAAUGUGAGAUUGUUUCAUCCACCGUUAUCACUUGCACACUGCAAAUCUCAAAGCAGCAUGAACGAUAGAGUUAGAACAGAUCACAUGGGGACUGUCCCUACCAAUUUCUUCUUUUUUUUUUUUCCCCUCAUUUUUACCCUUUGUGGAAGUGCUUUUACUUAAUAUUGUAAGACAUAUAUACAAAAUAUUAUAUGAGCAGUACAUCAAUCAACUUUGCCUAAAUCUAUCAAGAUCAUAAUUUUGAUACUCUAUUCAAGAGACAAAUUUUAGGGGUACUUGAAAUCCAUCUCUUAAAUAAGCUCAGUUCACAUAAAAAAUCAUAUCAGCGAGAGCGCGAGAGAGAGAGCUUAAUUUGCUUAUACGUAAAUACGGCAGGCAAAUGCAUGCAUGGUGUGUAUAGUGGAAAAGCGAUCUGAUAUAUUCAGCAAGAGCUUCUCUACGCGGACACGUAGGUACUACGUGCCACCAUGCAUCACGAGUGUGCAUGGGAAAGGCCAUAGCUGCAUGUUUCGUUUUGCUUGAGUUUCUAAUGAAUUAUUAUUACUCGAAUGGAGCCAUCAAAAGAAAGUAUAACAACCUUUUCAUUAAAUUAAGUCGAUCUCUACGAUAACUUUAUAAUUUCUUCCCUAUUAAAUAGAAGCUUCAAAUUUUAGUUUUUCUUUUAGGAGUUUAUUUUAUUUUAUAUAAUAUUUUAUAUCUCUCUUUCAUUUAUAAAUUAUUAUUUAUGAUUAUAGAAAGUUAAUUAUUCUUGACAAAGAACGUGGUCAACUAGCUUUUUUGGAAAGUGACCCAUAAAUAAAAUAAUGGAAAUUUCACAAAUCAAGAUGCAGAUAAUAGUUUGAUAAUUAUAAUUUUCUUUUGCAUCAUUAUAUUUAAUAUUCAUAUGAUUUGUGAAAUAUUAAUAUUUUUUUUUGUCUGAAAUGCUUAAUAGAAUACAGCUCGUCAAAAAUAUAUUAAACUUUCUCAAUCUGAUACAAACAAGCUGAUGGAAGAAACUUUUCUUGAUAUUAUAUAUGGGUUCUAAGUACAAUAGACGUGUGAAAGGCUUAGACUUGAUCUAUGCUAAGAUUAUAUUAUAGUAUGAGACAUAUGAAUUUGCCUACAAUGAGCGAAUCAAGUGGGGGCCAAUCAUAUAUAGGAGGCAAAAAGGCUUUAAGGAAAAUUAGAACAUAUAAAAAAUAAAAUGAGUGAACUUCUCAAUUAUAUUUACAUGCGAGUGGAAAUGGACCACCUAGAAGCAUUACUAUUAGAUCGGAGUUCUCAAUUCUCACUUAUACGAAUUUGAUAGCAAAUUAUUACUAAUAAUAUAUUUGAUAAGUUUGUAUUUUAAUAUAAUUAGCAAUUUUUAUAUAUUUUGAUACUUUGUAUGUUGUGGGUGGUAAUAUUAAUCCGAUUGACGCAUUCUCUCGAACCACCGAUCACUCAUCGAAUGUAUAAAUUAUGAGCCUACAAGUGAAGAAAACUAUCAAAUAAUUUAAAUUUCUAUAAACUAUUGGAAACUCAACUAUUUAACUUUCUUUUGUUUAAUGUGUUGCUACUAUUAGAUAUAUAUUGAAUGAGAUUAUAUUUUGGAUCACAUGUUAAAGAAUUAAUUUGUUUUUUUUUGUUGAGAAUUGUUCUAAUUCUUGUGUUGUUAUUAUAUUUUGAUUGAAUGUUCAAUUAUCCUUUUUAGUAUUUUGUUUUUUUAGUGAGAUAUGUAUUAUUUGAUUUGUGUUAAUAUUUAAGAUAAUAUGAUUAUCAAUAAAUUUAUAUUUUUUUUCAUAAAUGCAUAAAAAAUAAGUAUUAAUAUAAUUUGUUUACUAUAUUUGUACAGUAGAGGUAGUUGAAACCGUCUCUACCUAUUGUCUCUGCAUAACAAUUUUUGUAAAGGUGUAUUAACUAAUAUUUGUAGAGAUAGUUUAAACCGUCUUUAUAAAUUAAUAUUUAUAUAGGCGGUUCAAACCACCUCUAUAGGUUAAAAUUUGUUGAGACUAUUUCAAUUGUUUUCAUAUAAUUAUUAUAUCAUUAAUUAAAAAUAUCAAAAAAUAAUUAUGCAUAAAUAUUGGGUGGUUCUAUAUACCACCUCUAAGCUCCCCGAUGGUCACUUAAACGCCUCUACAUUGUAGAUACACUAUCUAUGCCGGCGGUCUAGAUGUGGUUGUAGAAACCGCAUCUACAAUAUGUAGAAGCGGUUUAUAUAGCCUCCACUGUAACUAAAAACUGCUUCUAUUCCUUAUUGUUAGAACUAAAACUGAAAAGAUCUAGUUCGUCAGAUAUGAAAAUAUCAAAAGAGAGCCAAGAAAGAGAGAAGAAAAAUAAAGCACACAAUAUUUACGUGAUUCGGCCAACGGCCUACAUCCACGGGCGAAGACGGAGCGGAGAUCUUCAUUAUAAUCAAAGUGGUGUACAAAAUAUGCUUCUCUCACAAAACCCUAAUCCCAAAAAAUGCACCCAUAUUCUCUCUCUCAUCUUCCGCACUAAAUCAAUAGCAAAAAUGGUAUAUUUAUAAUAGUGGUUAAAUCCUAAAACGAUUAGGAAUACAAACCCACCAAGAUUAGAAAUAUCUCAAUAAAAUUAGGUAUAAUCUAAACUUAACUUAAUGAGAUAAUCAAAAUAGAAUAGGAAUAGAAAACCUUGCGGUACUAGAAUUCGAGACAUAUCUAACACUUAUAGUGAAAAUAUGUAUUUUUAAACUUUGGAAUGCGAAAAAGAAGAAAUUCAAAAUAGUUCCAAUUUUAAUUUUCACGUAUAAUGCUAUAAAAUUUUGAUAUGAGAAGCAUAUAAUCAACUCCAUUAUUUUUCCUGCUUUGACUGCAUGUUAUUAUCAAGUUGUUACAAAGAUGCCAAGAAGACACGUGCAAGCAUACACUUGCCCUAAACAACACCCAAUGGAGGCUCCAUGUGGGAUUGCAGAGAAGGUUCCAUUUAGUAUUGCAGAGAUAUUGCGUUAUAUGUAGUGUAGAAGCUCCAUUUAGAAUUGCAGAGAUAUAUAUUGUGUUACGUACAAUGAAAACAUAUAUACGAUAGAAAAAUAUGCAGCUUUUCCAUAUAUAAUAUCAAAUUGCACAUAUCGCGAUUAGUUAAUUAUGAUAUUUUUUUUCUGUAGCACCAUCGAAAAGAGAAGAAGCAUGUCUCCAUAUGUUUUUGCCGUAAGUUGAUCCAUUUUGCCUAACAACGUCAAAUGAGCCUAAGUACCGAACGAGUCUAGACUCUAGACUCUGGACGCUGCAGCUACGUAGUGCUAUUAAUAUUUUUUAUCAUGAUUCAUGAACUUGAGGUUUAAUGGUCUGUUAAUUAAUUUAAACCUCAAAACAAAGUUUUAAUUAAUACUUGUUUAAGGAAAAAAAAAAGAAAGGAGAUACAUUAAAGCACAUUAAUUACCAAGAUUUCUUCUUAACAAGAUUCCCAUAUAGAUUUCUUUCUCGAAAAAGGGAAAAGAAAAGCACCCCACAACUUAAAUUAAUGCUGGACUAUAAAUCCCUUUAGUGGCUGUAUCCAUUUGGUCACUUAACAAAAGAGGCAAAUUGCAAGUUAAUUACUUUAUUAGAGUAUUUCUAUACAUGGUGAGUAAUAUUUGGAACAAAAACGAAUAAAAUAAUAUAUCUUGUUUCCAAAAGUUUUUUUCAAAAUUGGAUCUUCUUUCCACCCUUGUUCUCAUGAGUUUUCUCUUCUUUGAAUCUUUCUCUCUCAGCAAAGAGAAGUGAAGGUUUUCAUGGAGAAACUGUUGCUUCUCUUGUUAUGUUGCACUAUCAUGGAAGGUUUAAACUCUAACUUACGAUUUACAUAUAUUUUGCAUUCACAUCAAAUACUAUGUCAUAUAAAAGAUUACGAAAGAUAAGACUUAUGCAUGAAGUGUAAAAUUUGCUAUCGCAGAUUCUACCGAUUGAGUUAAAUUAUAAAUGUUGGUUUGAGGUAACAAAUGAAAUUUCUCUUUAAUGACUCAGUUGAAGAUAGAGUAAUCUCUUAUUUAAAGUGUGUUAUGAAAGAAAAUCACAACUUGCGCAUCUACUGAUGAAUAUAUAUAUUUUAGAAUCUUUCAUUCUAUGAUAUAGCUAGACAAUGUCUUAUAAUUUUUAGUAUUAAAAGAAGGGAGUGAUAAACGUACGUAGUGUGAAAAAAUGGCACUUGCAUAGUGGUAUUGUAAGAUAUGCAUCGAAAAGUGAAUGCGUUUGUAUAUUUGCUUGGUCGUAAUGUGUAUGAAAUUAACUACUUGAAUAUAUUAGUUGAAUAAAAUCACAUUUUUUUUUUUAUCUAUUUUGCUUUUUUAGGAUGGAUGAUGCAUUCUCUAUCUUAUGAUUAUUCAGCAAGCAUCGAGGCAAGUUUCAUUCAAUGAAACUCUCUCUCUCUCUCUCCCUCUCACACACACCAAGUUUGCAAGUGUUAACCACUUUUUGUAUGUUUUUUUCUUUUUCUUGUACUACUAUUUAUAAUUUUAUUUUUCUUUUGGGAGAAAAAGAUGACUUGUUACCUGCUUUGUUUUCUUUUGAAAUAAAUAUAGUUAAAAAUGCAAAACAACUGAGCUUUUGAACGUGAAAUUUUGAAUACCAACAAUCAAACCUUUUGCCUAGCUCCUACGUUAGAGACGCUCAUUCUUGUGCUACUAUUGUUGUUGUUGUUGUUGUUGUUGUAGGAUCGAGGAGCACCCAUUUUGGCUCUAAAAGCAGCACUUAGUUAACUUGAUGAACAGUUAAUUGUAUGAUAUUACAUUAUCUUCCUGAUUAACAAAUGCAAUGUUAACUGAAGAAAUAACUCUUAGUCAAAGUCUGCAAUCUUUGAUGAACUGCAAAACAAGUCAAGCCAAACCAGGCAAUUCUCUUUUAAGUUUCCAGUACCUUUUAGUUUAAUUAUAUUAAGUUCUGCUUGGUCAACACAUAUUUCUAAGCUGGAUCAAACCGAAAAUUAGUUAUCUUUGACUGGCCGUCCCUCCCUAACGCAAGUAACAAAAAACUUUUUUUUUUUUUUUUAUUUGAGGGAUAGGUAGCAUGCUACCCGUUUCGUUUAUUUCAUUUAGAAAUAAAUUUAGCUGGAAAUGUGAAUCAACUAAGAUUCGAAUUUGGGUCUCGGGUACCAACCACCAAGCCUUUUGCCACUUGCUCUAGAGACGGUCGGUAAGUAACAAAAAAGUUGAUAGUUAAUACCCGAGGCCUAAGUUCGAAACCUACUUGUUUUACAUUUCCAACUAAAAUUAUUUCUAAAAAAAAGCGAAGUGAAUAACCUACUAUCUUUCUCUCUAAAAAAAAGAAAAAAAUUCAACUGCACAUUUGAAUUGACAAGUAUGUGUGUGAAUGUGUUAUUUCCUUAGAUAUUUCUUAUUGGUUUUCAUGAUCUCCAUCUACAAAUGUCUUUGUUAUUUCCUUGGACAUUUCUUAUUGACUUCUAUGAUCUCAAUUUAUUGAAUGUCAAACCUAAGUACAUUCCCAUCUCCAUGGUUUGCAUCUUCUCCAAACUAUCACUUUUACACAAGUAACAAACAUUACAGCAUUUUGGUAUAAAUAACAAAGUUGUUCCCCUCACAUUAUAUACAGGAUGAUACCAAACUACCAUCUUCUAACGCUUCCGCUCACAACUCUUUUUAAUAACCAUAAGCAGUGCUUGGCUGAGCCACCGAAACCGCAGUACGGCGGGGGGAUCAUUAACGCCGGCCUGAGAGGAUGGUCAAACUCCGGCCUUUCAGCGGACGCUACGAGGGCCUCCGCAAGCGGCAAAACGUUCGCGGUCGUGCGCAGCAGGAGAAAACCUUAUCAGAGCGUCUCCCAGAAAGUGUACCUGCACAAAGAGAAGCUCUACACACUCUCUGGUGAUACUCAAAAGGCCACUCAAUUUCAUUCGGGAGUGUUCUGUAUUUGAGCUCACACGCAUUUGCCGCGAUGCUGUUUUUUGCAUUGUGCUCCAGCUUGGGUACGUAUCGACGAAGGAAGCGCAGUCGUCGGAGCUGUGUUUAAGACGGCAGGAGACGGCUUUGUUCACGCCGGUUUGGUCGAAGCCAAGUCGGGUUGCUGGUCCAUGCUGAAAGGAGGGCUGACUGUAAAGACUUCAGGACCGGCAGACCUAUAUUUCGAGGUGAGCAAUCUUUAGAUUAGGAGAAAACUUCAAAAUGCGCCUCAACGGCAUCGCGCAUUUGCGCUCUGCUACAGCAUGGUUCAAAGUACAGCAUUUUUAAUUUCCCCCCUAGUUUUCCAUUACGAACUCAUCACAUCAUUAAGAGUUGUAGAAAAGUGUAAUUUCUUAUGGACCAUAGAUGAUAAAGUGCUAAAUGCAUGAUAACGUAGCAUUAGGUCCCUAGGCAACGAGCUACACUUUGAACUACAUAGUAGCAAACGGUAAAUGAGCUAUAUCAUGGCGGGCUUUGUGAUAAGAACUUAAAAGAAGAAAAAUAGCAAGCAACUGUUUUUAUUUCAGCUGAUCAAGUUUACCACAUAGAAACAGAAAAUAUUUUUGUGAAAACAACUAUUUAUGAAUAGAUGUCGCCUACAUUACUGCAGAACAAAAAUAUAACAGUAGAAAUAUGGGUGGACAGUGUCUCCUUGCAACCGUUUACCGAAGAGCAGUGGAGAGCUCACCAAGAAGAGAGCAUCAAUAAGGUAAUUUCUACGACCCGAAACAACUUAAUAAACGCAUUAACAUUAACAAAGAAGUAAUAGUCAUGAAUAAAGCAGGUGCAUUGAAAUUGGGCAGAUCUAACUAUGAAAACAAUGUACCUGCUUGUUAGUAACAAUUCCUGCUCGAUUAAUAUCAUUUUGCCAACCAUUAUCAACCCUUCUAAAUCUUUUCUCUCAAUGCAAAAGAAAACAAGUAAAAUAAAAGAACUCGAAAUAACCGAUGAAGGUUCGCAAGAAGACGGUGAGAAUUCAAGCCAUAGAUGCCAAAGGAAACACCAUACCUGGAGCGAACAUCGCGAUCCAACAAACCAGACCGGGAUUUCCCUUCGGCUCAUCCACCAACGAGAACAUCAUCAACAAUACAGCAUACCAGAACUACUUCGCCUCCCGCUUCACCGUAACCACAUUCGAGAACGAGAUGAAGUGGUAUGCAACAGAGCACGCGCCGGGCAAAGAGGACUACUCGAAAGCCGACGCCAUGCUCGCCUUCGCUAAAAAGCACAACAUUCCGGUCAGAGCGCACAACAUCUUCUGGGAUAACGCAAAAAUCCAGAUGCCGUGGGUGCACUCUCUCAACGGAACACAGCUCUGGUACGCUACGUCGAAAAGAAUCAACUCAGUAAUGUCGAGAUACAAGGGCCAGGUCAUUGCUUGGGACGUAGUAAAUGAGAACCUCCAUUUCUCAUUCUUUGAAGAUAAACUCGGAAGAGAUGCAUCAAAUGUCUUUUACCAAGAAGCUCAUGAGCUCGACGCCGACACGAUGAUGUUCCUGAAUGAGUUUAAUACGCUCGAAUGGCCUGGAGAUCAGUUUGCGAGCCCAAGUAAGUACCUUCAGAAGCUGAGGGAGAUACAGUCAUAUCCUGGCAAUCGCGCGAACAUGGCGAUAGGGCUCGAGAGCCACUUCGGCGUACCGAACAUUCCUUUUGUGAGAUCGGCUCUUGAUGUUCUUGCAAAUGCAAAGGUGCCCAUUUGGCUUACGGAGGUGGAUGCUGCAAACGACACAGAUCAGGUAUAUCUGGACACGUCCUUGAUGCACAUAAGUAGUUGUCGAAAAAAGAGUCAUAGUAAUCGAGGUCUCCGAAUAUUGGUUUUGUGAAUUUGAAUCCCCUUAACAAACAUGCUUAUUUCGGAAAAUUCAUCAGAAUUUAACAGUACUUUAACAACCGUACGUCAACCAAAAAUAAAAAGUUUAGGGACCUGUUUCCAAAUCACCUACAGUAGUGUCCAUAAAAUUUCGAGUUAAUUGCAUAUGGCUCCCUAUAAAGGCAUUAAAUAACUAAUAUAUUUUUACAAAACUUAAGUUAUCAAAUUCAUCCCUUUAAAAGUCUUUUCAUCUGUAAAUAUUAGGUAACCAUGAGUUUAAAAAGGUAAGCAUGCACGCUUUAGCAAAGAAGUAAAAAGAUAUUUUUAUCUCUUAUAUAUAUAAUUUGUAUUUCAAUAUUAAGUUUCGCCAUCUUUCUCAUCCUCUUCUCUUUAUCUGUGGCAACGGCAAGACUUGCUGCAGUGGCCAUAUCGAAGGCGAAGACCUCGAUCGCUCCGCACGUGCCACGGCGAAGACGAGGAAAGUGAGGGAAAGAAAGAUAGGUUUUUAUAAAUAAAAAUUAUAAGAGUAAAAUAGUCAUUUUACACACUCACCGUUAAAAAACUAACAGUGAAUGAGACGACAGGGAUAUAUAUAUGAACGAACUAGAAUUUUUAGAGAAAUAUAUUUGCAAAUUAAAAAAUUUUCAAAGAAAUAAAUUUAGUAACUUAAUUUCGUAAAAAUAUUUUUGCUAUUAGAUAUUUUUACAGGAAUCUGCAUGAAAUUAACCCUAAAAUAUUUACCUAAGAACUGGUAAUACUUCAAAGUUGUGAUUGAUAUUAUACAAAUUUCCACAAUGAAAUUCCGAUGCAGCCAACAUAUUUGGAAGCAAUCUUGAGAGAAGCUUACGCUCACCCGGCCGUCCAAGGGAUCGUAAUGUGGACGGGCUGGCGUCCAGGACCGUGCGAGAAGAUGUGCCUGACGGACUCCAACUUCAAGAACACCCCCGCCGGCAAUGUUGUCGACAAGCUAAUUGCUGAGUGGAAGACUGGACGAGCAGUAGGCUCGACAGAUAAAAACGGCUACUUUGAAACCCAACUCUUCCACGGAGACUAUGACAUUCUCCUCAGCCAUCCAUCCGUGAACUCCUCACUGCACAGUUUGAAAGUGGAUUCUGGAACUCGGUAUGAAUUUAUGAUCCGGAUCCAAGAAUUAAGCAUUUGAGCUUCACAAUUCCAGACAGUACUGCUUGCUGAUUGUACUCUGCUUAAUUAAGCUCUCUCUCUCUCUAUAUAUAUAUUCUCAUUUCGCAUGAUUUGUUUCCUAUUUUACAAUGGAAAGUAAUGAAGAAAAUACAUGGCAAAACCUACUGUUGAAUGUAUAUAAUUUUAAAACGCUAUUCUCUGGGAGGAGUCCGGCGUAGCAUCGAGCACCUGAUGCUUUCAAAAUUUUCACCGUUAGAUUUACCUCUUUGGCCAUUUCUAUCGUUAGAUCAUACGAUUUAACCAAUCAUUCACUCAACCAAAAUAGACUACUAUCAGCCAAGGGAGCCAAAAAUCAAAUAGCACCAAUGCUUUGGUGCUAUUAAAAGCAUUUCAGCCCAAUUCAUAUGGUAGUUUAAAUUUUUAGCAAACAAUAAUAAUUUUGCAUAGUAUCAGAGCAGAGGAUUCUAUUAGUUUCAUUUAGUUUUCUCCAAUUUAAUUGAAGUCCACAUUUUAUGCGUAUUAAAAAGCCUCAAGCCUAAAUUUGAAAGAAAGUGUUGAAUAUAAAAUAUUAAAACACCGAUUUCCAGACGGUUUAAAUUUUCAGAGAAUGAUAGUUAUUUCACACCUAAACUUACAGUAGACGAACGUCCCGAGCAACUUAUACGCUGAUUUAACGGCAAAACACAAUCUCGCAUUCCAUCUCCACCGGAUUUCAUUAGGUCAAUGUGGAAUCUUAAAAAUAGAUCUUUUAUCUCUCUGAUUGUGUUGUCACCCCUUGACCCAACCCGUCUCAAUAUCUCUAUUAUGUACAGUAACUUGCGCGUGGGGCAUCAGACAACAUUAAUUGGUGAUUGUUCAAAGAGCAGAUUUAGAAAAGUAAAGAAUUCUUGGUAGAAAAUUUGACUCAUAUUUUGUUCGCAAAAGUAAUUCGUUUGCUAGUUCUGAUCAUAAGUUUAAUACAAGCACAUAUAUAUAUGAAUAAAUUAAACAUAUUUUGUUUUAGAAAUCAUAUUCUGUUUGUGUGGAUAUGGAAUUAUGGAUCCACUUUUCGCAAAUAUUUUUUAUAUCUAUAAUUCUAUCCAAAACAUAAUACCAAGUAUAUAUAUAUAUAUAUUUUUUUUUCUUAUUUUUAAUUCCUUCACUUCGCAUGAUAGAUUGGUAUGAUACAGGCAUCUAAAAAGAAUGGAAAAUAUAUUAUGCGUAUUCGGAUAGAAAUUUUCAACCAUCUUUGUAUAUACAAAAGUAUCUGAAUAAGCAUCGAAUCCGAUUAAAUGACUAAUAAAAAAUUGUAAAUAUCUGGUAAAACUUAGAUUUUGAAAACAUAUAGUUUUGGGCCCAUUUUGCUUGUGAGGACAAGUCUCAACGUGAGACUGUUUCAUCCACCACUAUCACUUGAACAGUGCGAAUCUCAAAGCAGUAUGAACGAUAAGAUAGAUAAAAUAGUUUUAAGUUAGGACUGUUCCCACCAAAUUCUUUUCUUUCCUUUUUGUUCCAUUUUCAUCUCUAGUGGAGUGCUCACACUUAAUAUUGUAAGACAUAUAUNCUUUUUGUUGAAAUAUAUAUAUAUAUAUAUAUAUAUAUAUAUAUAUAUAUAUAUAUUUCAAAAUAUUAUCUGAGCAAAAUCAAUUAACUUUUGCCUAAUCUAUCACGAUCAUAUUUCCUGAUAAUCUAUUCAAGAGACAAAUUUAAUUUUAGGGUACUGAAGAUCCAUCUCUUAAAUAAGCUUAGGUCACAUAAAAUUCAGAUGAGCGAGAGUUAGAGAGAGAGUGCCUGUUCGGCCUAGAUGUUGGAGAAGUAAUUUCUAUAAAAUUGAUUUUGAUUGGAAAAAUUAAUUUUGGUUUAAAACUUAAUUAAGAAUGUUUGACUGAAUUUAGAUGGAAAACAAUUUUUCUGAAUUAAUUAAUUUUAUAAAGCUAUUUGCAAAAAAAAUUUACUAUUUACAAAUAAUAUUUUUUUUGGUUAAAUUUUAUUUUAAACUAAUUUAACACUUGAAUUUAAAUCUAAAUUUUAAAUUUUAAAUUUGAAAAAAAAAUUAAAUUUUGAUAUUUUAAUUUAAAAUAUUAAUUUGAAAUUUAAAAAUUUAAAGUUUAUAGUNGCAAAAAAAAUUUACUAUUUACAAAUAAUAUUUUUUUUGGUUAAAUUUUAUUUUAAACUAAUUUAACACUUGAAUUUAAAUCUAAAUUUUAAAUUUUAAAUUUGAAAAAAAAAUUAAAUUUUGAUAUUUUAAUUUAAAAUAUUAAUUUGAAAUUUAAAAAUUUAAAGUUUAUAGUUUUAAAUCUAAAUUUAAAUUUUAAGUUCCAAAUGAAAAUUGAAAAUUUCAAAUUUCAAUCUAAAUUUGAAAAUUUGAAAUUUAAAAUUUAUAAUAAAAUUUCAAAAACAAAAUUUUAAAAAAAACUUAAAUAUUGAAUUUUAAAAUUUUAAUUUUUUAAUUUGAAAAAUAAGACUUAUGAUUGGAAAUUUAAAGUUUUAAGAUUUUAAAUUUCAAAACAAAAAUUUUAAAUUUUAAAUUUUAAAUUUUAAACUUAAAUAUUAUCUAAAAUUUAAAAUUUUGAAAUUUAAAAUUUAAAAUUUAAAAUUUAAAAUUUAAAUUUUAAAAUUUGAGAUUUGAAAUUUGAAAUUUAAUAUCAAAAUUUAAAAUUUAAUAUUUAAUAUUUAAAAUUUUGAAAUUUGAAAUUCAAACAUAAAAUUUAAAAUUUAAGAGUGAAAUUGAAUUUAAAUUUACAAUUUAAAUCAAAAACCAAUAUUAAAUUUUAAAAUUUGAUCCCAAAAUCAUAGACAGAUUUUUAAAAAUAGGUUUUAGCUGCUUUUCAGAAAACUGAUUCUAGAAAUUAGAAACCAAAUUUGAAACAAUAAUAUCAAAUGCUCUAUUAAAAUAAUUAAAUUUUUGUUCUAAAAUUACUUUUUAAAAUCAAGGCCAAACCUCCAAAGAGAGAGAGAGAGAGAGAGAGAGAAAGAGAGAGAGAGAAUAUUUGAUUACACGUAAAUACGUACGACAGGCAUGCAUGCAUGGUGUGUAUAGAAAAGGCUAUAUAUGACUCGAAUGGGGCCGUCAAAAGAAAGUAUAUAUAUAUAACAACUUUUUCAUUAAAACCCCUACGACAACAUUCCGGCCCAGUAAACAGAAACUUCAAAUUUUAGUUUUCUUUUUUUUCUGGAAUUUUGAAACUAGAGUUGCUUUGUAAAUUAAUUUAGCAAAUUAAGAUCCAAACCUUUUCUAAAUAGUUGGCUAAGAAACUAUUCUAAAAAGCUAUUUAAAUGAGCAAUAAAGUUCUUGUUCAUGUGGAGUGCGCAUUCAAAAGCCGUGCUACUUAAUUAACUGUGUGUUGUCGUUUCCUGUGUGAUUUUCUCCUCUUGUGUCAUUUUCGUUUUCUUUCCUACCUGUGUACUGCCACUCCUUCGCGGUAUUAGCCAACUAGGGACGAAUUUUGUUCUUUACUCCCUUCGGCCUGCUGCCCCUUCGUCGAUGUAUCUUCUCUAAAAUAGGAUACAUCCCUGUUUAAUCAAAAAAAAAAGAAAAAAGCACGUAACUUUAAACUUUGGAAGGUCAAAAAUAAUCCAAAAAUAGUUCCAAUCUUUUCUUGUAUAAUAAUACUAUAAAAUUUUAAUGACAACUGCAAUAUGAGAAGCAUAUAUAUAAUAUUAUAAUCAUUUAUUCUUCCCUCCAAUUCCAUUAUUUGUGUCCACGGCUGCAUAUUAUUAUACAUCAAGCUAUUACAAAGAUGCCAAGAAAACACACAUAAGUAGACACUUGCCCUCGACAACACCCAACAGAGGCUAUACUUGGAAUUGUAGAGAUAUUGCAUUGCAUACAGUAUAGAGCCUCCAUUUGGGAUUGCAGAGAUUAUGUUACGUGCGGUGAAAAAAUACGAUGAAAAAUUAUUCAGCUUGUUUCCAUACAUAAUAUCACAUUGCGCAUAUCGUGAUCAGUUAGUUCCGAUAUUUUUUGUGCAGUACCAUCAGAAAAUGAAAAAGCAUGUUUCCAUAUAUUUUCACUCCGCUGGAUACACUUUGCGUAACAACGUUAAAUGAGCCUAAAUACCAAACGAGUUUAGACUCUAGAUUCUGGAGGCAGGAAGUACUAUAAUUUUUUUUAUCAUGAUUCAUGAGCUUGAGGUUAAAUUGUCAGUUAAUUAAUUAAUCCUCAAAAAAAAAUAAUUAAUACCUGUUUAGGGAAAUAAAAAGAUAAGAGGUACAUUAAAGCACAUUAAGUACCAAAAUCUCUCCUUAACAAGAUUCUCAAAAAGAAAAAGAAAAACAAAUCGUAACUUAUAAAUUGCUGGAUUAUAAAUCCCUUUGGUGGCUGUAUCCGGUCACAUAACAAAAUAGGCAAAUUGCAAGCUAAUUACUAUAUUAGUUCAUAGUAUAUUUCCACAUAUAUAUGGUGAGUAAUAUAUAUAUGGAACCAAAACGUAUGAAAUUAUCUUGUUUCCAAAUGUUUUUCGAAAUUGGAUCUUCUUUCCAAUUAAGUUGUGAUGGAAAAAUAUACACAUCCUAAUAUCUAACAAAAAUUUGCCAUUUAUAUAUAUGUAUAUAUAUGUUGCAUGUGUACGUUCCUAUUUCCACAUUGGCCCUUACAACUUGUUUUCAUGAGUUUUUCUCUUCCUUGAAUCUCUCUCUCAGCAAGAGAAAUGAAGGCUUUCGUGGUGAAAGUGGUGCUUUUCUUGUUAUUUUGCGCUCUUUUGAAAGGUGUAAACUCUAUCUUAUGAUUUAUAUAUAUAUUUUGCAUUCACAAUAUUAUAUACUAUUUCAUAUAAAAGAUUAGAAAAGAUAAGGCCUAUGCAUGAAAUGUGAAAUUUGCUAUAGCAGAUUCUGCCAAUUGAGUUAAACUAUACAUGUUAGUUUGAAGUAACAAAUGGAAUUUCUCUUGAUAUAUGAUUGAGUUAAAGAUAGAGUAACCUCUUAUUUACAGUGUGUUAUGGGAGAAAAAUGCAACUUGCGCAUCUAUUAUUAAGAUAUGUAUUUUACAAUCUUUUAUUUUAGGGUUUAGAUAGCUUCUCAUCGAUUUCUAGUAUUAAAAGAAGGUAGUAAUAAAAUUAAUGUGAAAAAAUGGCACUUGGACGGUUCUAAUGUAAGAUAUGCAUUCGAAAAAUGAAUGCGUGCGUACAUUUGCUUGGUCUUAGAAAGUGUACUAAAGUUACUACUUGGAUUUUUUUUUUUUUUUUUGAGAGAUAGAUAGCACGUUAUCCGCUUUGUUUUAUUUCGAAAUAAAUUUAGCUAGAAAUGUGAAUCAACUUGGAUUCCAACUUAAAAUUUUGGAUACCAACCACCAAGCCUUUUGCCACUUGCUCUAGGGACUGUCGGUACUACUUGGAUAUAUUAUAAUUACUUUCUUUUUUAUCUAUUUUGCUUGUCCAGGAUGGGUGGUGCAAUCGUUAUCUUAUGAUUAUUCAGCAAGCAUCGAGGCAAGUGUUUUUGAGAAACUCUCUCUCUCUCUCUCUCUCUCUCUCACAGAGGGUUGUGAGUGCUCAGCACUUCUUUUAUAAUUUUUUGGGAAAACUUCAAAAACCCCCCAUGUGGUUUCGUGCAUUCUCACUUUGCUACCCUGUGGUUUAAAACGUAUCAAUUUACCCCCCUGUGGUUUCAUUUUUAUCUUUUCGGAAGCUUUUUCGUUAAUAUUUCGUUAAAUUAUAUACAAAAAACUUCAGAUAACUAUCUAUAUUUAUCGAAUAGUCACUUUAGUAUCCUUUAAUUUUAACUUUGUCACUGAUUUUAAAAAAAAAUAAAUAAAAUUGAUAAUAAAAAGAUAAAAACGAAACCACGGGGGGGCAAAUUGAUACGUUUUAAACCACAGGGUAGCAAAGUGAGAAUGCACGAAACCACAGGGGGGGUUUUUGAAGUUUUCCCUAAUUUUUUUUCCUUUUCUUGUGCUAGUAUUAUUUUUUUUGUUUUUUUAGAAAGAAAGAUAAUAUGCUAUCCAUUUUAUAUAUUCUUCUUUUUUAAAAUAAAUGUAGCUAAAAAUAUAAAGCAAUUGGGAUUUAAACUUAAAAUCUUAAAUAUUAAUUAUCAAGUCUUUUGCCGCUUGCGUCAGAUAAGCUAGUUUUUGUAUUACUUUUGUUAUUGUUGUUUUCACCGUAGAUUCUUGUGCUACUAUUGUUGUUGUUGGAGUGAGGAAUACACAUUUUGGCUCUAAAAGCAGCACUUAGUUAACUUAAUCAUGAAUAGUGAAUAGCUAAUUUUAUGAUAUUACAUUAUCUUUCUGAUUAACAAAUGCAAUGUUAAUUGAAGAAGCAACGCUUAGUCAAAGUCUGCAAUUUUUUAUGAACUGCAAAACAAAGUCAAGCCAAACCAGGCAUUUUUCUUUUAACUAAUUAUUCAGUUUCCAGUACAUAUUAGUUUAAUUAUAAGCUCUGCUUGGUCAACAUAUAUAUUUGAGCAAAACCAAAACGAAAAUCAAUUAUCUUAAACUGACCGCUCAUCCCUACAUGAGUAGCAAAAAGUUUAAUGUGAUAUAUGAAACCUUAAUUUACAUUUUCAAUAUAGCGCAUGCAUUUCUAAACAGGCUACUUUUUCCGCCAAAAAAAAAAAAAAAAACCUAUCUUCGACUCCAUAUACAGAUUUGCAAGCACGCGUGUGCGUAUGAAAGCGCACUUCUGUGAAUUCCAUUAACAUUUAAUAUAAUUUAUUCCCUUGGAAUUUGUUAUUUCCCUGGACAUUGAAUUUUUAUGAUCUCCAUUGAUAAAUGUCAAGCCUAAGUACAUUCCUAUCUCCAUAGUUUGCAUCAACUCCAAAUUAUCAUUACACAAUUAAGAAGCACUACAGCAUUUUGGCAUAAUUAAGUUGUACCCCUCACAUUCUAUACAGGACGAUACCAAACUACCAUCUUCCACACUAACAACUCUUUUUACCAUACCCAGUGCUUAGCUGAGCCACUGAAACCGCAGUAUGGCGGGGGGAUCAUCCGCAAUCCCGAGUUUAACGCCGGCCUGAGAGGAUGGUCAAACUUCGGCUUUUCAACAGAUGCUACGAGGGCCUCCGCAAGCGGCAACAGAUUUGCAAUUGUCCACAGCAGAAGAAAACCUUAUCAGAGUGUCUCCCAGAAAGUAUACCUGCACAAAGAGAAACUCUACACUCUCUCUGGUGAUACUUAAACGACCACUCAAUUUCAUUUGGGAGUGUUAUGUAUUUGAGCUCACAUUUGCCGUGAUGCUGUAUUUGCGUUGUGCUCUAGCUUGGGUACAGAUAAACAAAGGAAAUGCAGUCGUCGGAGCUGUAUUUAAGACGACCAGCGAUGGAUUUGUUCACGCCGGCUUGGUCGAAGCCAAAUCAGGUUGCUGGUCCAUGCUGAAAGGAGGGCUCACUGUAAAGACUGCAGGACCAGCAGAACUAUAUUUCGAGGUGAGCAAUCUUUAGAUUAAGGGAAAACUUCACAAAGCGCCUCAACAGAAUAGCGUAUUUGUGCUCUGCUACAGUAUGGUUCAAAGUGAAGCAUUUUUUUCCCCGGUUUUUGCUAUAGUUUUCCAUAAGGACCCAUCCCAUCAUUAAAGGUUUUAACAAAGUGUAAUUUUUAAUGCACCAUAGAUGAUAAAGUGCUACAUGCAUGAUAAAGUAGCAUUAGGUCCCUAGGCAACAGCUACACUUUGAACUACAUGGUAGCAAACUGUAACUGAGCUAUAGCAUAGCGCGCUUUGUGAAGUUUUCCCCUAUAUUAACAAAGUAUUAAAAAGAAAAAAGAAGAAAAAUAGCAAGCAACUGCAAUUUCAGCUGAUCAAGUUUUCCACAGAAACAAAACAUUUUUUGUGAAAACAACUACUAAUGAAUAGAUGUCGUCUACACUACUGCAGAGCAAAAACACAACAGUAGACAUAUGGGUGGACAGUGUCUCCUUGCAACCAUUUACCGAAGAGCAGUGGAGAGCUCACCAAGAAGAGAGCAUCAAUAAGGUAAUUUCUACGGCCUGAAACAACUUAAUAAACGCAUUAACAUUAACAAAGAAGUAAUUGUCAUGAAUAAAGCAGGUGCAUUGAAAUUGAGCAGGUCUAACUAUAAAGAACAAUAAUCAGGUUCAAUGUACCUGCUUGUUAGUAACAAUUCCUGCUCGAUUAAUAUCAUUUUGCCAACACAAUAACCAUAUCCAACCCUUCUAAAUCUUUUCUUUCAAUGCAAAUGAAAACAAGUAAAAUAAAAAAACUCAAAAUAACACAUGAAGGUUCGCAAGAAGACGGUGAGAUUUCAAGCCAUAGAUGCCAAAGGAAACACCAUACCUGGAGCAAACAUCUCGAUCCAACAAACCAGAUCGGGAUUUCCCUUCGGCUCAUCUACCAAUGAGAACAUCAUCAACAAUGCAGCAUACCAGAACUACUUCGCCUCUCGCUUCACUGUAACCACAUUCGAGAAUGAGAUGAAGUGGUAUGACACAGAGUACAUGCCAGGUAAAGAGGACUACUCUAAAGCCGAUGCCAUGCUCGCCUUCACUAAAAAACACAACAUUCUGGUCAGAGCGCACAACAUCUUCUGGGAUGACCCAAAAUACCAAAUGGGAUGGGUGAACUCUCUCAACAAAACACAGCUCUGGAGCGCCACGUGGAAUAGAAUCAACUCAAUUAUGUCGAGAUACAAAGGCCAGGUCAUUGCUUGGGAUGUAGUAAAUGAGAACCUCCAUUUCUCAUACUUUGAAGAUAAACUCGGAACAGAUGCAUCAAAGGUUUUUUACCAAGAAGCUCAUAAGCUCGAUGCCAAUACAAUGAUGUUCUUGAAUGAGUAUAAUACACUUGAGGUGCCUCAAGAUUGGGUUGCGAGCCCAAGUAACUACCUUCAGAAGCUAAGGGAGAUACAGUCAUAUCCUGGCAAUAGUGCGAACAUGGCGAUAGGGCUGGAGAGCCACUUCGGCGUACCGGAUAUUCCUUUUAUGAGAUCGGCUCUUGAUGUUCUUGCAAAUGCAAAGGUGCCCAUUUGGCUUACAGAGGUGGAUUGCGCAAACGAUACAAAUCAGGUAUGCGCAUAAGUAGUUGCCGAAAAAGAGUCAUUAGUAUCAAUGUAUCUGAAUAUUUGUUUUGUGAAUUUGAAUCACCUUAACAAACAAGUUUAUUUCAGAAAAUUCAUCAGAAUUUUAACAGUUUUAAGAACCGCCAACCACAAAUAAGAAGUUAGGACCAGUUUCCAAAUCAUCUAUAGUAGAGUGACCAUAAAAUUUUUGCCUGAGAAAUGGUAAGACUUCAAAUUUGUUAUUGAUAUUAUACAAAACUCCAUAAUGAAACUCAAUACAGCCAAAAUAUUUGGAAGAAAUCUUGAGAGAAGCUUACGCUCACCCGGCUGUCCAAGGGAUCGUAAUGUGGACGGGCUGGCAUCCAGGACCGUGUGACAAGAUGUGCUUGACGGACUCCAACUUCAAGAACACGCCCGCUGGAAAUGUAGUUGACAAGCUAAUUGCUGAGUGGAAGACUAGACAAGCAGUAGGCUCGACAGAUAAAAAUGGUUACUUUGAAACCCAACUCUUCCAUGGAGACUAUGACAUUAUCAUCAGCCAUCCAUCUGUGAAUUCCUCAUUGCAGAGCUUGAAAGUGGAUUCUGGAACUCGGUAUGAAUAUAUGAUCCAGAUCCAAGAAAUAAGCAUUUAAGCUUCACAGCUCCAGAGACUGCUGACUGUACUGUGCUUAAGCCCUUCUAUUCUCAUUUGUCAUAAUUUGUUUCCUAUUCUGCAAUAGAAAGUAAUAAAGAAAAUAUACGGCAAAACUUACUGUUGAAUGUAUAAUUUUAAAGCCAUGUUCUCUAGUAGUUUAAGAUUUUAUUGAACGAUAAUUAUUUCACGUCGUAUCAGAGGAGGUUCUGUUAGUCUCAUUUAGUUUCUUCCAAUUUAAUUUAAGUCCACAACUUGUGUGUAUUAAAAAGCCUCAGGCCCAAAUUUGAGGAGAAGUUGAAUAUAGAAUAUUAAAACACCGGUUCCCAAGUAGUUUAAACUUUCAGAGAAUAACAGUUGUUUCACACCUACAUUUCUCCAUUGAAUUUCAAUACAUAUAAAGGAUCAUGAGAUCCUUAAUGUGAUUUUGCGUAUGUUACACAAAUAGUGAAAUCAAAUAAUUAUUGCCAUAAAUCACAAGCUUGGUAAAGAAGCAAGGGAGAAACUAGAGAAGUACUACGAAAUAAGCUCCAAAUUUAAUGACUAAAGAAAAGAUAUUGGAUUAGAAGUGGAUGGCACUUCAAUGAGGAAGAGUUUCUGGUACCACCAAAACUUGAACCUUUCAACAAGCCAAUUCCAUGCUUUCUAUGAGUUCCACAUUAUGAGAUUCUACAUUAUAACACCCUCAAAUAAGCCACCUGAUUUCCAAAGUAUUCAUGAAACGUCAUUGCUCCAGCAAUUAGAAUCAACUUCAUCCUAACAUGCAAAGCGAAUCGACUUAUACAUGUUCACUAAGCCCUCAUGCUUUAAACUUGUGAUCAAUGAAAAGUAGUAUUUAUCUUUCAUCUGUGCCAUUAGUCAGCAUCAUUCUCAUGUAUGACACUAUUUUCAGUAGAAGUAGAGUUUCCUCCUAAAUUAAGUUGAUGAACAGGACUCAACAAAUUUGUAAUGGGAAGAUGUACCUUCUUGAGGAAAAAAUUCACCAAGAAAAAUAAGGUUGACCAUUUAAUUCAUAAUUGAGUAUCAGAAGAUAUCUUUUGCAUAUUAAUCCAACUAAAAUACAAAAUAAAUGAAGCAAGCAAGCAGGAAUAAGAAAGAAUAAAUUUCAAUAAGCAAAGGUGAGGUGCAACACUUCUAUCCAACCUUACAUAAGGAAUGAACAUGUAAUUCAAAGACAAAGAUAUGCCAGAGGUACAACAAGUUACCGCAGAAAAUCCAUGCAGCUGUGCUGAACAACUGUACAAAACUAGAUAUGACUUAUUUGAUUGCUCGACCAACUGUGAGACAAGUAUGUCAAGAAUAAAUACCCCAAAAUUUCUCAUGCGUUUCAAGCAAAAUUGCUCAAAGGUGUGACACAUCUGCAAAUGCUAAACAACAAUGAGCAGAUUUGAUAAACCAUCUAUCAACAAGUCAGAGCCCAAAAGCAUUUGACAGCUGGUAGAUUUAGUUGUUCCGCAAUCCACUAUCUUGAUGCACAAACUCCAUCAAAAACCACCAGAGUUCAAAUCAUUCUGUCACAAAAAUGGACUGUAAACCAGAAGCAUAUAACUUCUUGAGAAUACAAUAUCUGAAAAUGAAUUGAAGAGCCAUCAGCAAAUUAAACAAUCCUAUGUUAUAGAGAUUGCUAAGUAUAAGCAAAAAGGAAGGUUCAAAUUUAGAAACAAGAAGUUGAUCAAAAUCAAUAAGUUGAACCAGGACACUGCUGUAGUUUAACACUAUAGAGACAAUUUCACCGUCUGUGCUACAGUUUACGUUUGCAGAAUGAAUAUGUACCCAGCAGACCAUCAGUUUUAGAGAUGUAUAUUUGGAAGAAAUCAGUUUUUGAUAUGCUAAAAGUGUACACUACAUAGCAUACUGGUAAGCAGAUUUUCCUAUACAAGGAUAUGCAACAGCAUACAUUUAAGCAUUUUCUGCAAACACGAGAGAUCCCUACACUACUAUAUCUACACUAGUUUUAGUGCCCUAAUGCAGAACAAUUGCCAGCCCAAUCAGUAAACAUGAAGGUUUAUAAGAAGCUCCAUGUGAAAUAAUAACAAUUACAAGCGUCACAUAGAGAGCUAAUGACGAAAUUAUGUAACAUACAAGAAAGGAUAAAAGCAGACUCAUGCAAGAUAUAUAGGGGUACGCACCUCAAGUUGUACAUGAAUAUACUUCAUCUCAGCUCCUCUUGCAAUCGAGGUAUCUGAAAAUUUCACUAUUCACGAUUGAGAAGCCAUUUUCCUCAGAGUCCAUAGAACCAACCAAGGAGGAACAAGGUAUUGAAACAUUUCUAUCCAGGUCCUUUUGUCAUCCUUUUCUGCCUCUUGAUAAACCCAUCCAUCAAAGUAAUGUAUGCAGAACUAUUGAUAGGCAAACCCUUCUGCAUCAUUUCUUCCAGAACAAGUUUAGCUUCUUUGAAGUGUCCGCUACUGCAGAGCUCAUUAAUACGCUCCGUAUAGCUAGCAGAGAUGCCAUCUUUUGAAUCUACCUCAGCAUUUGUAUCUUUCACCCCUUCUUGAUCUCUUUCUGUUUCCGGAAAGACAAACUUUUCAGGUAAUUUUCCAGUUUCAACCAACUUUGUUAGCAUAUUCUGUGCUUCUUCUGACCUUCCAGCCUCAGAGAGAGCACACAAGACAACAUUAUAAGUAAAAGCAUCAGGAUGUAAUCCCUUCUCCUCCAUAUCAGCAAACAUACGCAAUGCAUCAUCAAUCUUUCCCUCUUUGCAUAAUCCUUUGAUGAUAGUAUUGUAGGUUAUAACAUCCACCUUCUUCCCUUUUGACACCCACGACUCAAAUAGCUUCAACGCCUUUUCGACCUUGCCACCAUUACAAAGCCCAUUCAUGAGAAUGUUGCAGGUAAUAACAUUGGGCUUGAAGGAAUUCUCCACCAUCUUGUUAUGAAACUGGAAAGCUUUCUCCAAGUCCCCUUCCCUACAAUACCCAUGAAUAAUAGUAUUAUACGUGGUCUCAUCAGGCACCAGCCCUCCAUCCAUAAGCUCAUUCAACUUCUGAAUCGCCUCCUCUGUCUUUCCCGUUUUGCAAAGCCCACUAAUUACCGAAUUGUAAGUCGAAAUCCCCGGCCUUAUCUUCCUCUCGUUCAUUUCUUCCCAAAGCUUCAUUGCCUCAUUAGGGUUCUCAUCCUUGAAGUACGCGGAAAUCACUGUCCCAUAACUAACCUCAUCAGGCACAAACCCUCUCUUCGGCGGGCUUCUUAGAAGCUCGCAAGCCUCAUCAAACCUUUUCUCCUUACAUAGGUUGAAGAGCACAACAUUGAGAGUGAAAGUAUCCAUCUUGAGACCUCUCCCUACCAUCUCAUCCAUCAAGCUGAAAGCUUUGCUCACAUUCCCUGCUUUCGAGUAUGCACUAAUCAAAGUAUUGUAGGUGAUGAGAUCAGGGGAGACCCCUUCCUCCUCCAUCUUCCUCAGAGAAUCAAAAGCUUCGUCCAAUUUCCCUUCCUUGCAGAGCCCUUUCACCAUGAUGUUGUGGGUGACCAAGUUGGGGCGAACCCCUCUCUCACACAUUUCGUCGAGCACCUUGGACGCGUCGCAGCUGCUCCGCCACUCGAAGCACGCAUCCAGCAGCGUGUUGUAGGUGACGACGUCGGGGGGCGCUGUACCGAGCUUCUCCAUCUCGCCCUUCAUGCGGAAGGCCUCCUCAAUGCGGCCCUCGCGGCAGAGCCCCGCGACGAACACGUUGUAGGUCCACACGUCGGGGACGAACCCCGACGUCGUCAUGAGGUCGAGCGCCCUGGUGGCCUCCUUCAGCCACCCGAGGCGGGAGUAGGCGGCGACGAGGGUGUUGUAGGUGGCGCGAUUGGGGGGGACGCCGCGGGCCUUCAUGUCGGCGAGGAGGGCGCGGGCCUCGCGUAGCAUGCCGCGGCGGCAGUACCCGUCGAGGAUGGUGUUGAAGGUGACGGCGUCGGGGGAGCAGCCGAAGCCGGCCAUGGCGGGGAGGAGGGCGAGGGCGUCGGCGAAGCGGCCGCGGGAGCAGUGGACCUUGGCGAGGAUGUUGAAGGUGCGGAUGGUGGGGGUGACGCCGAGAGCGAGCAUGUCGGCGUAGACGGCGAGCGGGGCGGCGGGGGAGGAUGCGGCGGCAGGGGAGCGGGCGAGGGCGGCGAGGAGGGUGUUGGAGGUGAGGAGCGAGGGGCGGAGGCGUCGACGGCGCAUGGAGUGGAAGAGCUGGGCGGCGAGGUGGGGGAGGCCGAGGGCGGCGUAGGCGGAGACCGCGAUGUCGAGGAGGGAUCGGGAGGGAGGGGAAUGGGGGUGGAGGAGGUGGCGGUGGAGGAGACGGCGGCGGUCGAGGGGGACGAAGGAGAGGAGGAGGGAGCGGGCGUCGGAGAAGCGGCGGAGGCGGAGGAGAGUGGGGAGGAGGUGGAGGAGGGAGGGGAGGGAGACGGAGGAGGGGUCGGAGGGGAGGCAGAGGAGGCGGAAGAAGCGGAGGAGCGGGGAGGGGUUGGAGAGGGAGGGGGAGGAGGCGGCGAGGGAGACGAUGGAAGGGAGGAGGGAGGGAGAGAGGGAGAGGCGGGGGAGGAAGGGGGAUAGCACCUGGUUCAGCGGCGGGGACGAAGGGGAUUGCGCCGCGAGCAGCGCCGAGGACACCGCGGCGACGAGCUCCGCCUCCUCCGGCGAUGGCGGCGCAGGAGAGGGAGAGGGAGAGGGAGAGGGAGUGGCCGCCAUUAAUGGGGGGACGGAGGAGCUAGGGUUAGGGUUAGGGUUAGGGUGCCGGGGAGGGAGGAGGGAGGAGAGCGGCGGCCAUGGAGGCGAGGAAGUAAAGAAGCGGGUGGGAGAGAAGCAGACGAGCGAGCUAAAGAGCUGUUAAGAACUUAAGGGGCCCGAAAGAGAUGGUCACUGUACAUUUCACUUACAAAUUCUAACAAUGUUAGCCCUCAAAAAAGUUUAUAGCUUCUACCAUAACCUCAAUUUAAAUUGUAAACUCGUAUGUGCAUAAUGUAAUUUAUUGGAAAUUUGGAAUCAAUAAGACCAUUUAUGUCUCUCAAACCAACUUAAAUGUGCAAACAAUUCCACCCCAAAAUGCUGUGGCAAAAGGGACGUAUAUAUUUGAUAAAACUUGACUUUCAGGUUCUGUUAAGUUUUCCUUCUUGUACAAGAAUCCUAACUUUAACAGAACCUGAAAGUCAAAAACAUGAUGAUCAUCAUUAUUAGAGCAAAACUUUUCACUUGCAGUAAAAAUUUGAUCUGAUUUAACUUAACGAACAUGUAAUUCGCAAUCAUUUCAACAAUAAAAUGACUUCUAUCAGCAAUUAAAUCUUCUGCCUGUUUCACUUGCUCACACUGAGGACUCAGAUUGGUACUGCAAAAGACCCUUAAUAGGAAGUUCCAGCCAACCACACGAAAAGCAAGAAAAUAAUCACACUAACUUGACAAAUAAUAUGGUUUUGUCUGCAGCUUUAAGCACACAAAAGGGCCAUCUCAUAGUAAUCAAACAUCAAUAAUGAGUGGAAGAGUGAUAACAGAUGAGCAGAGUUGAUAUACUUAGACAUUACGACGGCAGAAGCAAGGAUCUGCAGAAACUAUUUGAGGUACCUUUCCGAUUACUAACCAAAGGAAUAGACAUCUAAUUUUGAACAAAUAUAUUUGGAAACCGCCUUGAGAUGAAAAAGCACAUGUAACUUUUUAUGUUUCUAUUUCUACAAGCAUAAUUCGUGAGUUUCUUUGUCCUUUUUUUUUCAGGAAUAGUUUUACAUGACUGGAUAGCGAUCACUCAAAAUUGUGCACCGGGGAUGAUUGCCUGAGCUCGUAUGCUGCCUGGAAACAAUCUGCAGCUUGAUGCAGCGAUCCUUCCAUUUUUGAGAUGAUGCCGAGAUUCAACCAUGCCUCAUGAUUUGUGGGGUCCAGACGAAUGGCGUUCAUCAAGAAACUUCUCGCAAUCGGCAGGGAUUCACCUCCAAGCAUCCUUAGAAUUUCCGCCAUGGAAACCAUGCUCGGCACAAAGUUCGGUUGGAUUGAGAGUGCGACUGAGAAAGCAGCGAGUGCCUCUUCAUGCAUUGAUUGUGCUUCCAAUAGCAAGCCUGAAAAUAUCAAGCAUUAGAUAAGAGGGUGUGUGAGACGUGAUGACUGAGGACUCAGAAAAUUUGUGAUACUAAUAGCGAAGGAGAAUAGAACAUAGUAUAAUUUCCCACUGACUUUUGCAAAGGAGUUUCUGAGAAGUACGCAUGUAACAGAUAUUUACCUAUUACGGCAUGAUUAAGCCGCAAAGUUAUCAAACAGUGGCUACUCAAAAAUUGCUUCAUGUUAAAGGCUUUACCUUCAGCAACUAACUUCUACGAUACAGCCAUCAAUUGUGGUUAAUGUUCGGAGGUUUAAACCCAGUAGAGAAACAUAAAAGUACACCGAGACAAUAUACAAAUAGCAUAGCAUGAAAAAUUACAGAAACAAAACUGUCUUAUCCAGCCUUUAUAAGAAUCGUAGAGAAAAGAUGCAAUUACACAGAUUGUGAACAUUUACCAAGAAUAAAUGUACUCUACUUGCUAUAUAAUUAACUGAAUUUCAGAAGAGCUUAUGUUCAAUACAUUUGGAAGAUAUAGCUUCAUAGCUAAAACUAAAACCUGAAGCCCAAAAUUAGAGUAGCAAAAUGAUAGGAACUCUAACAUUCAUGCAUGUAAAUAUCUCCUCCAAAAGCGUGCAUACUUCUAUCCAUCAGAAAGUAGAAACAUCAUAUGAUUCUCAUUUAAUGCUUUCUUCGUUCUUCUUUACCUCUCAUAGCCAUGUCUUAGUGACACCUAUGAGUAUAGAAGAUCAAACAUUCCGUCAUUACUAAGGAUCCCACUGAAUAACUCGGCUUGUCAACUGAUGUAAAAAACUAUUUUCGAGUACUUCGUAGGCCUUUUAGAAAUCAGACACCAUAACAUUUCCUAGUUUCACCAUCUUCAAAAUAUUUUUCAUAUCGCAGAGCAUACCGAUCUAUUCACAACUAGCGAUCAAGAUAAUUUUUGAACUAUCCUCUUUCUAUUAUCAUAUUCUCUUUUGCUGGAAUCAUUUGAUUUAAACACCUUUUGCAUUUAAUACUGCAUUGGUCUGUAGACCUCCAAUCUUUUAGUUUGACAAGUUUUCGUCUCAACUUGUCAAUCAUUGCUACCAACCUUAUAGCAUUAGCUUAUUAACCAUUUUCCUGACCUCUUCUCCUGCAUAUUGUGCAAAGCAAUUUUACCAAAGGCAGUCUAUGCGAGCAAAUAUUCAAUCAUAUCAAGAAUUUGAGUGUAUAUCACCCCUUGUCUACUCAUAGAUAUGAAUGUUGCUCAAUCCAAACCGAAUUGCCAAACCAAAUCAAAGCAAUUUCGGGUGAUUCAGUUUGGUUUUAUUAGUAUGGGGGUCAGUUUUACAAAAUAAGAACCAAACAAAAGGCACACUGAAGCUAUAGUGCAUAUUAGUCGCCAGACAAUGAUCAAACAUUGCAGUACUAAGCCACUGCUAUCAUCAAAUAAAAGAUUUAGGCUAUAACUAAAAAGAUUAAUCAUAAUUAAAAAGUCAGAUAAUAGGUUGAACUUACUAGCCUGGGUGGAGUUUCUAUGCAAACCAAAUAAAGAAACCAACAGAGCGGAAUUACUUAGGUUCCGUUUGUUACAGUUCGUCCCUGCUAACCCACCUCCAUCCGGUUCUAUUAAAAAUGUUAAUAUAAAACUCUAUAAACCAAACCAAACUGGCCAACGCACAAUCCUAGCUGCUUCAUGAAGAUCCUAGGUGCAGGCCAUCCGAAUUUCGAUAGCAUGUUGGGUAUAUAAUCGUCUCUCUCAUGAGAAACACAUAAUACAUAAAUAUAAGCAAAAUAGGCACACAAGUAUGUUACCUAAGCACCCAGACAUUGUGGUUUGAUGCUGUGAAUAUUUCUCAUUUCUAUUUCGGAUAAACCAUUACCUCCUUAUUUGACAUAGUCAUUUCUUACAGUAGCUUACUUGAAACUAUAAUCUUGUUGAGUUUUGUCGUACUUAUCCAUCAUCCAAUCUAAAUUACGUCCAAAUGGACUAAAUAUUGACAAAAAAUGUGCGUGACACCUACCUGCCUAUCAAUUUUGAGAUUAUGAUGCAUUGCUUGCCCGCAUAGUGCAACCACCUGCAGAGCAUUGCUUUGAGUUACUCAUCCUACCUUAAUUUUGUUUGGGCUCUGUCAUUCCACCACUAACGCAUCUUUCCAAAUCAAGUAACCUUUUUACACCUAUAAGAGAAACGACCAUGCAAUAUCUAGAAUCUUUGUAAAAUCUUUGAUAAUAAAUACACAAUUUCAUAUCAAGCUAGGAUGUUGUGCCCUAAGUCGUUUUCGAUGAUGAGACUUUCGAAUCGACGAUUGGCUCAAUUAUACUUGAUCUAGAGUAAUAUAGAAAACAAGUUUUGUGAUUUUCCAAUAUAAUUUUCCUAGUGAUUUAAUAGGCUCAAAAUCAAUAGCUAAAAAUAAACAUCUCACAAAAAGUGAUGAUACACUACUAAAAUUUUAAAUCGGAGGUACUGAUCUCGCCGUAGAUAGUAUACAGAACUUUCUAUUAAAACUUCAUCUAAUUUAGAUAUUUCUACACUGUUAAAUUGAAAAAGGCUCACAUCAACCACUAAACUUGUUGAUUUUGAACCGGUCCAAUCGCUGGGCAAAUGAUAUUGAAAAAUUACAAAACUUAUUUGCUAGAUACUUCAAAUACUCUAGAUCAAGUUUAAUGGAACUAAUCAUCAAUUCAGAAGUUCCAUCAUCUAAAACGACUUACGAACACGGAGGCCUCCGUGCUCCUCAGAGCAUAGUAUACCGCCUCAUUUCAUAUCAUGGAAUGUGCAUAGUUGUCCUGAAGCAUAUAGAGAGAAGAUAAAUAAAAAAGGCAUAUGAAACGAUCAAAUGUAUAGUCCUUAUAAACAACAAUAAACAUAUCUCCAAAAAAUAGUAGAAACCUAAAUUGUGUCAGCAACGUCUAUUUUGCAUAAUAUUUACCUGUAAUGUGCCAUAUCUUGGGGAAGGAAGAAUUAAUAGACUUAGCUUUCUCUAAGCACUUUUUUGAAUCAGCCCAUGAGCCAAGCUUAGUGUAAAUAGAUGCCAAGUCCAGCCAUAUUUCCAUCUCUAAGUUUCUGCUCUCUUCAACCUGUCAAAAUAAUGCUUCAGUUAAAACAAGAAAUAUCGAGAUGCACUGAGAAACAUUAGCUUAUUUUCCAUUAUAGUUAAAAAGACAAGUAUACCUCAUACUUAGGGUGCCAUAUCUGAAGCUCUUUUUGCGCUUGAAUGAUGGCAAGCGAAAUCCUAUAAGUGUCUAUUGCACUCUUAGAUUGCCCUUGAGCAUCCUGAAGAAGUGCUUUUAGUCGGAAAAAGUUCAACUGACCUGCUUUUUCAGUCUCAUCUAUUGCAAGUUCGACUAUUGCUUCAGCUUCUUUUAAGUUCUGUUGUGCUGAUAUAACAAGAGCUAAUAGCUUCCAGCCAAUAACGGAGCUUCCAUCUACCAUAUCCAGAUAUUUGGUUGCAUUUUCUACUGCCGCAUUAAGGUUUCGUUGCAUUAAACUCUCCCUUCCUAGGCUAUAUAUUACCUCAGGGUCAUACUUUUCAAUUUUAGCAGCAUUGUUUAGCAACUUUAAUGCAUUAUCUCGUAACUUUAGCCUUUCGGAAUCAGAGAUAGAAGAUUUGGAACAACAUCCAUAACAAGCCCCAAGUAAGUGACUUGCAACACCAACUAAAUGUUUUUCUUGAUUCUUUACGGAGUCAAUCGCUUUGGUUGCAAAUUUUAUACCUUCAAGUGCGUAUAAUGGAACUUUGCAGCAUAACUUUGCUCCCAAAAGAAGUGAUGGAAUAUGAGGUUUGUGCUCUUUCUGACAAUGUCCGACAACUUUCUUUAAAAUGUUUAAUGCAUCCUCAUCCAUACCUGCAGCACUAUAACAAAGUGCAAGUAUAUACCAUCUCUCAGCUCUACUAUAAGUGCCUGGCAAUAGCUGUUCUACAUGACUCGCCAAGAGUUCAAAUUGUCCAGAUAAUGAAAGUGCAAAAGUUAGAUGGCUCAUGAUAUCAGGAUCCCAACUUAUUUCUUGAAACGCUAGCUUUCUCAUGAGUAUAAGCAACAGCAGAAUUGCCUCCUCCACGUUAUUGGAAGGAGUUAUAAAUCCCGAAACUUGCCGACAUUCUGCAGGUAGAGUUAUUUCACUGCCGCUAUAUAAUAAAAUAACAGCUAAGUCUUUUUGCAAGCUGGCCCACUUUGUAAAGUCUAAAUUCCAAGGUCUAAUAAGAGCUCUGCGAUAAGCUAGAACAGCUUCUUCAAGACAACCAGCCUGUAUCCAUAGAUUGGGAAGUAAUUCAAGAGCUUUGUGGAACAUUUCUAUCAGUUUGCACUCAUCUUCAAUGCCAUUGGGUACACCAUGAGGCCAUGCAGAUUCAACAAUGUCUAGAAUAAUUUUACACUCCACUGCAGCAUCUGCUAGCAAUAACAGAUGGAUCAAAUACAAACAUCAGGACAAGUAUGUGACAAUGCUCUUCAGAGGUAGUAUAACUUCGGAAUGCCAUCAAAUGAUUGACUGAUCAUACUUUUUCUAGGUAUUUGUCAAAAUACUAGCAAACUAACUAAUCAUGUCAAUUACAAGUGAAACAUUCAUAACAAAGACAAUUUUGACAAAUUGUUGCUGUAAGCAGCGAAAAUAAACACCUACUAAACAAAUAACAAGCAAUGUUCAGCAAUAGUGUUAAAAUUGAUAACAAAGUGUUUGAACAUUAAUAUAAGGCAUUGAUUAGGAAAAUGCAAGAGCAAAGAAGAAAAUUUUAUCCGUAAGUCAUACUCCAUUGUUCGAAACAUUCACCAUGCAACGAAGACCAAGUAAAUCAACCAGGUGGGUUUAACAGCAUUAACAAAUAUCAUAACACAUUCUCCAAAGGUACACAAGAAGCACCAUAUAGCAUCUGCGCCGUGCUUGUGCGCUUAAUUUCACCAACCAAGAUUUGAAAAUUUGACGCAACAGCACGAGAAACCAACACUAGCAGAUUAAAUCAAGUGAAAUUCCUACUGUCUAAACAAUGUUUAGUUAAAAAAAAUAAUCCUAGUGCCAAAUGUUAAGAAACAUUGCAACCAAAGAACACAAAAUUUCCGAACCUUUCACUCGACCGAGCCCUUCCAAGGACUUCGAUUUAAGCAAUAUCGCUUCAAGAAGCAAACUAACCGAAUGCAUUGACAUUAAACUCGACUGCAAAUCCCCCCCCUUGGCACGACCCUUACGCCUAAAUCUCUCUGAGAUAGCUUUAAUCAUCCUAGGCCUCAAACCUCGAAUAUCAAUACCCUCAAACACUUGCAAUGCUGCGUUAAAAUUUCCCCGCUGAUACUCCAACCGGCCCAAUAACGCCCUGGCUUCCUAUUGUACGAAAGUUUUCAUACAAAAUCAAUAAUAAGAAUUAAUGCCAACUUGCGCAAAAAAUUAGUUUAAGAGAAAAGGACCUCAUAAUUCAAUGAUAUGGUUUCUCUUAGCGCAGAUUCAACAUCGUCUACUUCGCUAUUAUCAUCAAACUUCGAUUCCCGAUCUCCAGUCCUCGACGACGAGAGGCAACUUACAGAGAAGUCCCUCGUCGCGAGGGACUCCGGCGACCGGGGUUUGUCCUCAAAUUGAAAAUGCUCUCCACUACAAGUGCACAACAUGGUUUACAGAUACAACUCUCUUCUUCUUUCCCCUGUAGCAUCAAGUAGUAAGCAGCAUUGGGUAUAUCUUGGUUUUCCAAAUUCUUUGGGUAUUUUCCUGAAAAAAUCCCAUUUUUAACAGAUCAAAGGAUCUGAACACAUUACUGGAUCAAUAACCUGAGCAGAAAUAAAGUUUCUAAAUUAGAAAUGAAACAUCUUAAUAUAUACCAACGUAAACCUAAUUGUAAAAAAAAAAAAAGUUUGAUAUAAAAGGAAUCAAAAAUAUUUCCAAUUAAUCUAGCAAAACAAACUAAAAAAAUAAAAAUAAAAGCCUAAAUCGAGCAUAUGAUCCAACAUUUCGAAGAACCCAAUUGAGAAAACCACAAGAAGAGGAAACCAAUGCAAAUCCACAUCUUAUGUACAAGUUUAAGUCCAAAAGCAAAACUAAUUGCUUAAUAUAAAAGGAAUCAAAAACAAUUCCAAUUACUCAAGCAAAAUAAAACAACAAAUUAAAAGCCUAAAUCGAGCAUAUAAUCCAACAUUUCGAAGUACCAAUUUGAGAAAACCACAAGAAACUUCGAGGAAACCAAUGUACACAACAUGUUUAGCCCCAUUUACAGAGUAUAAAUCGUGUAAACAACGAAAGAACACAAAACACACCAUUUUUCAUUUUUUUUAAAAAAACGGAGAGAACAAGAACCAGUUAUGGAAAUUCGCAAAUGUCCAAAAUAAAUUAAAAUUUUUUUUACCGUCGAAAGCAAUUUGACGAGGCAAUUUGACGAGACAACUUGACGAGACUAUGACAACGAAGUGACACAAAGAAGAACACAAAACACCAACAAAAGCUACGGGACAGAUAUUGACGAGCAGGAAAAAGAAAAAGAAAAAAAGUUACAGGCGAAACUCUUCUGUAGUAUUUCCUCUAGGAUUGAUCAAAUAAUUAAGGGAAAAGUUCAAAUACCCCACGUGGUUUCGUACUUUUUCAGUUUAAUACUUUACAAUUCCAAGCGUAUUAAGUUAAUAUUUUUUCGUUUUGCACUUUCUUAUUUUAAUAUUAUGUGAUUUCAAGUAUAUCAAAUUAGUACCCUAUGAUUUCGCACUUUCUCACUUUAGUACCUUGUGGUUUCAAGUGUAUUAAAUUAGUACCCUAUGGUUUCAUACUUUCUCACUUUAGUACCAUGUGGUUUAGUAUUUCGUUAAAUUAUAUGCUCCGAAAUGGAUAAUAAAAAGAGAAAAUUGAAACCACAGGAUACUAACUUGAUACAAAAAUAAAAUCACAGGAUACUUACUUGAUACACUUGAAACCACAGGAUACUAAAGUGAGAAAGUGCGAAACCACAUGGUACUAACUUGAUACACUAGAAACCACAGGAUACUAAAGUGAGACAGUGCGAAACCACAAGGGGGUAUUUGAAGUUUCCCCACUAAUUAAUUAAUGUAAAAUGAUUAAAUAGCUUUUUUUUUCGUAAACUUUAAAUAUCAUUUUUAUAAUUUCUUACUUUUUUUACUUUAAUAAUAUGUGAUUUAAAGUGUAUCACUUUCGUACUCUAUAAUUUUUUUUUUUUAAGAAAAACUUCAAAUACCACCCUUAUGGUUUCGUACUUUCUCACUUUAGUACCAUGUGGUUUAAAGUGUAUUAAUUUAGUGUUCUGUGAUUUUAUUUUUAAAGUGAAUAUUUAAAAAACGUAGGCGUGGUAUCUGAAGUUUUUUGUAUUUACUUUAACGAAAUAUUAACGAAGAAGCUGACGAAAAUAGAAAAAUAAAACCACAAAGCACUAAAUUGAUAUACUUUAAACCACAGGGUACUAAAGUGAGAAAGUACGAAACCACAGGGGUGGUAUUUGAAGUUUACCCUUCUCUUUUUGUUAUUCUCUCUCCACUAUAUUUUUUUAUUAAAUCAGUGAUAAAAUUAAAACUAAAGGGUACUAAAGUGAAUGUUCGAUAAACUAGAGGUGAGGUAUUUGAAAUGUUUUGUAUAUGAUUUAACGAAAAGUUAACGGGGAAGCUGACGAAAAGAAAGAAUAAAAUCACAAGGUACUAAAUUGAUACACUUUAAAUUAUGUGGUACAAAGUGAAAAAGUGCGAAACCACAUGGGUGGUAUUUGAAGUUAACCCUUUUUUUGUUACAAAUGUACCGAAUUUAUCUUAACUAUGAAUCAUUUUGACUCUGCUGUCCAACCUACUAAAAUUUUAAUUUUAUUGGAUAAUCUUUCAUUUUAUUUGAUUUGAGUCGGCUAAGAGCAGCUUGACUUCAAAAUUUAAAUAUAUUGUUUAUCUUUAUAUAUUUAAUUAGUAUAUUUUAUAUAAUUUUUACAAUUAUAAAUUCGUUAAAAUAAAUAAUUAACUUAAAUUUGAAAGUCAAAGUGUUGUUGACAAUCUCAAUUCAAAUAAAUUGAAUUGGAUAGUAAAAAUAAAAUUUUAGAAAAUUUAAAUAGCAAACUCAAAAUGAUCUAUAAUUUAGAUCAGUUUGGUAUGUUUAAUUUUUCUUUUUCUAAUACAAAUUCCUCUGUAUUUUUUGGGAAUUAAAUAAGUGGAGGUGGAUUGUUAGGGUUUUUUUUAUUUUUGGUAAAAAUAUAUGAAAAACCCCUCACUUAUAGACCAAUCUGAAAGAGAUUCAUAAACUUUUUUGUUUCAAAUUUUAUAAUUUUUUUGAAAGUUUAAAGAGGGGCGGUAGAAUAAUAAUACAUUAGAAUAUUUGCCACCGUUUAGUGCAAUUUAAACAAAAGUUUACUUGUUAGGAUAUUUCUAAAUAUUUUUGAAAAUUGAAGAAACAUUUGUGAUAUUAUAAUUAUUUUGUGGGGGUGAAAAGAGUAUAAGCCUGCAUAUAGUAAUUUUUUGGGAAAACUUCAAAUACCCCCAUGUGGUUUCAUUUUUUCUCACUUUAGUACCCUGGGUUUAAAGUGUAUCAAGUUUGUUCCAUGUGGUUUUGCACUUUUUCACUUUAGUACUCUUUGGUUUAAAGUGUAUCAAGUUAGUACCCUGUGGUUUCGCACUUUAUCACUUUAGUAUCCUGUGGUUUAAAAACCACAGGGUACUAACUUGAUACAAAAAUAAAAUCACAAGGUACUAACUUGAUGCAAAAAUAAAACCACAGAGUACUAACUUGAUACACUUUAAACCACAUAGUACUAAAGUGAUAAAGUGAUAAACUAUAGGGUACUAACUUGAUACACUUUAAACCACAGGGUACUAAAAUAAAAAAGUGCGAACCACAGGGGAGUGUUUUGAAGUUUUCCCUAAUUUUUUCUUAAUAUUUUUUUUGGCAUGAAAAGUUUUGUAUUUUAUUACAUUAUCAUAGGAUUUCUCUAAUUAGGACAUUAUGGGUGUACAAUGAGGGAGAAAUUAUUGCCUCCAUUGGAUGUACAACUACACCACUCCCUAAAUAUACAAUAGAAGAGAAUUUAAAAUUUAAAAUUAUUUUAUUAUUUUUUUAUAAUAUUUUUUUAAAAUUAUUUUUACAAAUUUUAAAAAGUUGAACAUUUUUUAUAUUACCUAAAAAGUAUUUAUUUCUAUAUUGUUGAUUUUAUUUCUGAGAUUACUAAUGUCUAGCUAAUAGGCUUUCAAAAUAUAUAAUUUACCUAAUUUUUAUAUGUAUAUCAGCUUAUAUUUUAAGUUUAAAUUAGGCCAUUUUGUAUUUAAAAAAAUAUUAGUUUUGUAUUUUUUGAAAUGUGGAUUAGUUUUUUUUUAUUUGUUUCAGAUUCAAUCUGAUUUUUUUGAUCGAAAUUCUCCUAUUUUCUCUCUACUUUCUCUCUUUCUCCUCCUACUUCCUCUCAGAGGACGAUGAUUAAGCUUGAUUCCUCGUUGCUGUGGCCGUUCUUGGUGUUCUCGGACAAGAUCAUCGUGGGAGGAACGGGGGUGGCACCGGUCGGAGCGUUGCUAGAGACAGAGUUUGCAGAGGAGGAGGCGACGAUCGCUGGUUGAGGAUACUACCAAAACAAGUUCGUGAGCGAGUUGAGCGUGACCACGGAAGCAGGAUGGCUAUGGUAGUGAGAAAGAACAUCAGGUGAGCGAUAUGUUGUUGCACUAUUUUAUUAAAAAUUGCACUAUUUGUAUUUAAUAAGAAAGUUGUAUUAUUUGAUACGUAAAAUAAACUAUAAAUUAAUACAACUUUUUUGUCAAAUAGUAUAAUAUAUGUUUAAAUAGUACAACAUUGCAUUGUUCAUCAAAUUUUUUUCUUUUACUACUGCCACCACCUUGCUGUCAUCGGCAAUGCUUGCGAACAAAUUUCGAAAGCAUUCUCGACUAGCGAUCGUCACCUUCCUUCUAAAUCACCUCGGUCUUCAUCUCCGAUGAAACUAUGAACAACCAUGACGACAAACUGGUCAAGUUUAUCAUCUUUCUUUCACUUGUGAGGCAGGAACGGUGACAGAUAAGAAACACAAGAUGAACAUGAAUUGUAUAGUAGUUUGCUUAGUUUAAUAAAGUAAUAGUAGUAAAAAAAUGUAUUAAUAUUUUAGAAAAGUUAAGUAGCUCAACAAAAAGGAAUUGAUAUGUAAUAAAUGAUGGUGCAUCAAAUAUAUACAUACACGGGGUGUAGGGACUACAUUUUCAUAAAAUUUGGACUAAUAAGGAGUUGGCACGUGCCCACUCCGGCCCACCCCUCUCUGAACACCACGAGGCGCACUCGACGGAGCAGUUAGUGGAGGUGGGAUGAGCUCUCGAGCAUGCAAAUGGAUCUGGGUUGGUGGAGCGCCUGCUCUUAUCCAUUUCGAAUGGGACGGUAAAUGAGAAUUAAAUAUAAAAAAAAUAUAAUUUGUUCUUAAUUCAUCUUGAUUCGUCAAGUAAAUCUAGUGAAAGGCGAAAGAUUUUUUUCUUCCUUCAAUCAGUUUUGACCCGUCAAAAAUUCUUCAAAAAUUCGCUUCUGUUCUAAUCCGUCCCGAAUGAGACGAUAAGUGAGAGCCAAAAAUAAAAAAUAAUUCGUCCCGAAUCUGCCUCGUCCCAAUAAAAAAUGAAGCAAAAGGUGAGAGAAUUCUCUCGCCCCAGGAUCCGUCCCGUUUGUAUCCCUACUCUCGAGGCUGCCAUCAUCAGCGACGUAGAUAUGUGAGGAGGGAGCAAAGGGGUAAAAGAUUUGAGAGUUCAAAACACACAAAUAUUUUCAUUAGUUUUUAAAAAACUCAAUGUAAAUCUUAAAAAAAAAAAUCGAUUUUUAUAAAAAUACAAAUUAAUAAAUUUUUUAAGCGGAAAAAGCCUUUAAAUUAUUAUGCAAUGUAAACAUACCCAAUGUGUAGUAAAAAAAAUUCUCAUGAAAUGGAGGGAAAUUAUACAUCAUUGUGUAGGGAUGUUGGAAUGAUUUCCAAGUCAAAGGCAUUCAAACUUGGUUUGACUAGUGAGUGGUUUCUUUAUGAGAGAAGGUGUAUGGUGAGACACUUUUUUCUUUUUUUUUUUAUUUUUUCUUUUUUUUUAAUUUCUUUCUCUUUUUAAAUUGAGGAAAGUGAUUAGACAUAUCAAUAUUUUUAAAACCUUUGUUCAAAACUGCUGCCCCUCACUUGGCUUUUGGGUUAUUUUAUGGAUAAACUUCAAAUAACCCCUUAUGGUUUCACAUUUUUUUCACUUUAGUACUUUAUGGAUUAAAGUGUACCAAGUUAGCUCCUAUGGUUUCGCACUUUCUCACUUUAGCAUUCUGUGAUUUAAAGUGUAUCAAGUUUAGAGAUGUCAACGGGUCGGAUUCGGGGCGGAUUUUUAAAAACCCGAACCCGAACCCGACUCCAAACCCGAGACCCGAACCCGAAUCCGAACCCGACGGAUUUUAAAAAUCCAUAUCCAAACCCGAACCCGACCAAAAAUCCGAAACCCGAACCCGAACCCGAACCCGAAAAUUUGAACCCGAAACAAUUAUUUCAUUUUUCAAUAUUUCAAAAUAUAUUAUAUUAAAUUUAAAAUUUUAAAAUACAAAUUCAAAUAUAACAUCAAAUUUUUAUAUAUAUAUUAUAUAUAAUACAAAAUAAAUUCGGAUUCGGGUCGGGUUCGGGUUCGGGUACUGUGGUUUCAUUUUUUUUUUUUAUCCAUUUUACUAAUUUUUUUUGUUAAAUUAGUGGCAAAGUUAAAAUUAAAUGGUACUAAAGUGAAUAUUUGAUAAAUCUAGGUAGGAUAUCUAAAAUUUUUUGUAUAUAAUUUAACAAAAUAUUAACGGAGGAAAAAAAAAAUCAGUGACAAAGUUAAAACUAAAAGGUACUAAAAUAAAUAUUCGAUAAACUUAGGUGGGAUACUAAAGUUUUUUGUAUAUAAUUUAAUGAAAUAUUAACAGAGGAGCCGAUGAAGAGAGAAAAAUGAAGCCACAUGAUACUAAAUUGAUAUGCUUUGAACCACAAGGUACUAAAGUGAGAAAGUACGAAACCACAUGAUACUAAAUUGAUACAUUUUAAAGCACAGGGUACUAAAGUAAAAAAAGACAAAAUUACAGAGAUGGUAUUUGAAGUUUUUUCUUAUUUUAUUAAGCACAUUCCAUAAAUUACCCAUCUAAAUUCUAUUGCAUAAGUUUCAAAAUUAAAUCUUUACAUAUUAAAUAUAUUUUAAAAUAUUGUUUAAAGGCUUAAUUAAAUUAUACUAUAUUAUACUUUAUAAAUUCUUUCCACUUCCAAAGCUUUACUUUUUGAAGCAUCAUUCCAAUUUUUUCUUUUUUCUUUUCAAUUCCUACACUAUAACUAAUAGAUUUAUAAUUUUAUAUAAAAUCUGUUAAAAAUAGCAAAGCAUAUAUUUCAUUCAUUUUGACAUAAAAUAAUAAAAUAUAUAAAAAUAACAAAAGAUAAUUAAAAAUAUAGAUUUAACGAGUAUAUCAUAGAGUUUUAUUUUAUUUUUUUUACUAUUUAACUAGUACCGCUUAAUAAAGUCUCUAAAUUUUAUCUAAAAUGUUAGAUUUGUUAAUAGUGGUAUAGAGAUUGUCGAGAAAAAAAAAUAAUUUAGAGAUAUGAGAAAAUAAAAUAGUAUCAGCUAGAAUUAAAAAUAACAAUAAAUCUAAAAUAUAUUGUAGAUACUGAUAAAAUAAAUAAAAAUAAUGCUAAAGUAUAGUGUAAUAAAAUAUAAUUAAGACUUGUUUAAAAAUAUACAACAUUUACCUAAACCAUGGUCCAUUUUGAAUCUACUAUCCAAUCUUUCAAAAUUUUAAUUUUUCUAUUCGAUGUUUCAAUUUAUUUGAGUUUACUCGAUCAACAGUAUACUUACUCCAAAUUUUAAAUACGUCAUUUAACUUUACAUUAUUAAUUAAUAUAUUUUAUGUAAUUCUAGUAACUAUAAAUUCUCAGAGUAAAUAAUCAGUCUAAAAUUUAAAUUCAUAUCAAAUAAAUUAAAGGAUUAUAUAAUAAAAAUAAAUUUUUUAAAAAUUGAAUAGUCGGUCAAGUUACAUAUAAUUUUACCAAACCAGUAAAAAAAAAUAAAGAAACAAAAUAUAGAAAAACUGACAGCUAGUUGGAAGCAUAGUUAGUUAAUUCGGAUUCGGCAAAAAUGUGGUACAGAUAUAAUACGCAUAAAAUUUAUUUUCUAAUUUUUAAAUUCGUUAAAAAUUCAGCUUAAAAAAUAGUUUCGGUAUAAAAUAUAAAAUAUAAGAUGAUCUAUAUUUAAACAUAAAAAUUAUAAGUUUUUUAUUUAGAUUUUUAAUAAUUUGUGAAUAAUUUAUGAAUUAUUCGGCUGGUCCAAAAAUUCGCGAAUAAUUUUCUUUAAAAAAAAAAAUUCGUAAAAGAAUCGUUUAAUUUGAUUUUUUAAUAAUUUACGAAUAAUUUACGAAUUAAUUAAUAAAAAUUAAAAAAGUAAGUCAAUUAUAUCUAUCUAUUUGUAAAAAAAUUUAUAAUAAAAAAAUUUAUAAACUAUAAUGAAACGUGUCAAUUAUUCAAAAAAAAUAUUUUUAUUAGUUCACAACAUCAUGUCAUGUCAGUAAUAUAUCGGCAUUCUAGAUUUUUUGGGGAAUCAGAGAGCCCGUUUAAAGGCGAGGCUGACGGGGCACUGUCACUGCCGAUAGCACAAAUUAAAAAUCUCGUCACCGAAAGAACGUGACCUUGCACGGCAUCCAAUUGAAAUCGAAAGUACGGAAUCGAAAUAAUUUUGUCGAAGCUAAAAAAGAACUUCCUCCUCCCACAGUCGGUCAAAAAAUUUUCUUCCUACCGGUCAGGCUUUUUCAGUUCAAGUAAUGUUAUAUCCACCUUUUCGCACCUAAAAACUAUGGACUACUACCAGUAGGGAUGUCAAUGGUUAUAGAUCCCAAAAUUUUAUCCGAAUUCGAAUCCGAAUAAAACGAAUAUAUCCGAUAAAUAUGAAUAUAAAAAAUAAAAAUCCGACGGAUAUGGAUUUUGAUUGUACCCGACCCGACCCAAACCGAACUCAAAUUUAUUUUGUAUUAUAUAUAAUAUAUAUAUAUAAAUUUGAUGUUAUAUUUGAAUUUGUAUUUUAAAAAUUUAAAUUUAAUAUAAUAUAUUUUGAAAUAUUGAAAAAAGAAAUAAUUGUUUCGGGUUCAAAUUUUCAGGUUCGGGUUCGGAUUCGGGUUUCGGAUUUUUGAUCGGGUUCGGGUUUGGAUAUGAAUUUUUAAAAUCCGUCCGGUUCGGGUCUCGGGUUUGGAGUCGGGUUCGGGUUCGGGUUUUUAAAAAUCCGCCCCGAAUCCGACCCGUUGACAUCUCUAACUACUAGGCUAAGGCUUCGUUUUGGAAUUGCGAAAAAAUUGCAUUACGUGCGGUGAGAAACGAUGAUGAAAAAAUACUCUGUUUAUUUUCGUACUUAAUAUUACGUUUCGCAUAUCGCGAUGAGUUGGUUGCGAUAUAUUUUCUGCGGUCCCACCGGAGAACGCAGAAGCAUAUAACUAUAUACUUUUUCCUCUACUCCAUUUUAUCUAAUAACGUUAGAUAGACCUCAAUACCAAACUAAGCUUAAAUUAUAUGUAAAUUAUUUCUACCCACAUCCGUUUUUUUUUUUUUUAAUUUCUAGUUUUUAAAAAUUUUUAUUUAAUUCCUUUAAAAAAUAAAAAAUAUUUACUGGAUGUAAGGCAAUAAUUGUAACAACGAAAUGAUCAAAUUAUCCUCUUUCUUUUCGUCUCCUUUCUAAUCUUGCUUCAUCCUUCUUCCUCUUCUUCGUCCUUCACUCCUUCUUUGGGCCCAGCUCCGACGUCGCUUGCUCCUACUUGCUCGACCUGCUCUCUCUGCUCCUCCUGCACUUCUGCCGCCCCUCCAUUUGGUGACGGUGGGGAUAAGGUCGGUGGGGUGGGUGCGGAUGGAGGGUGGGCGAGGGCAUGAAUGUAGCUGCGGAAUGAAGGGAUGGGCGAGGGCGAGGGCGAGGGUGAGGCGACGGAAGAGGGCGAGGCGACACGACCAAGGACGUCCUUAGUGAGAAGGGAGGCGGCGCCACUAUAAGGACAGAUAUAGGAUAUUUUGAGUAUAAAAAAAUAUAUAAUAAUAAAAAUAUAGAUAGGGAUCCGAAAUGAAUAUUUUUUUUAUUUUAUAAAAAGGUAAAAUAUAUGAAGAGAAAAAGUAAAAAAAUAAUAUUGGCAGAAAAAUUUUCUGUAAUUUAACCAAACUUCUAUUUUCACACUAAUGAUAUUCAUCAUUUUUAUAAUAUUUAAAAUCUAAAAAUUAUGUCUUCUAACUUCCAAAUGGGUGAGAGUACUCUAAUUUUCAGUGAUCAAGUAACAUUUAUAUUCUCUUUUGUUUGGCUUUUAUUAUGUCAGCGAAUCUAUGUACCACCACAUUUUUGGACUCUGCAUAUACACUAACAUAUUAAUAAUUCAUAAGAAGAGCAUUUGCUAAAGAGACUCAAAACAUGCUUUAUAUUGGAUAAAAUUCUAGUUGAAAGCUUUCCAACAAUGGCUAGUUAAAAAAUUCACUAGAUGCGUUCUAAUAUUCAAACUCAAAAAAAAAAAAAACAAUUCAAACUUCAAGAGAAAAACAAAACUAGCCCAUGGCUGUAAAUUAGGGGCCCUUUGUAGAGCUUCCCAAUAAAGUUUUUUUUUUUUUCCCUUCAUAUUCCAUACAACGGUUUUCUACAAAAUUUGAAGUGUUAGCAAAUCUAUACAACAACUUGAACAAUGUCAAUAUAGAAGGUUAUAGAAGGUCAUAGUGUGCGAAUUUUAAAAAAUUUAAGCCCCCUCCCCUAGUGAGAGUACCACCAUAAUUCCUGGAUACUUCAACCAAUCUGUGUCCACAAUUUUAUGAAUCGGUCAUGAGGCAUAAAUCAGUAAUAAAGUUUCACUUGGAAUUUGUCAAGCUAUUAGAUAACUGAUGAUAGUAACUAUGGAUUUUGAUACUCUUGUAAGUUGUCAAUCCACUCUUAAGGCAUGAACUUUUAACUACAGAAGAGAACCAAGUUUAACAUUCCCAACUGAACAUUCAGCAACUUGCCUUUCCAUACAGCAAAUGGAAAGCCAGUUUCAGUUACAAUGUUUUCUGAUUUUCUUCAAAUGUCAUAAAUUUGUAUGUGAGAAAUCAAUUAAUGUUCGUGAGAAAGAAUUAAAAAGGUGAGACAACAGCUGAUUGAGAAUGGUACCGAGGUUGCAAGUUGAAAGUAAAUCAUGUAUAGAUCAAGUAGUUGCAAAAUUAUCUUAGAGGUUUUUUCUUCUUUUUAUUCUUUCGGAUAAUGAAAACUCAUACUUGGAAAACUGGGGCAGCUUACACUUCACAUAAGCACAGUUGCAGAGAAUUUUUUUUUCUUUUUUUUUUGUCCUGUAAUUCCUGCUAUAGGCGAAUCUUCUUUGCCUUUAUUCGCUUGACAGCCAUGAAAGUCACAGCAGCUGAGAGAGAGUACCUGAUGAUGACAAAUAACCUAACUUGAUCAAUUUAAAAUACAGUGAAUGAUUUACAAGCGUACGAUUACAAUUGUACAUGCUAAAGUUUCAUGAUCAAUAUUUGGAACAAAAGACUUUUACGUAAUAGGAUGCUACUCAAGAAACUAGGACGAGAGUAAGAAAUUACCAUAACUAUAAAAUAUGCAUACCGGCACAUGGAACGAAAAAUGAAGUUCUAUCCUACCAUUCCUAGGUGAAACAAAGAUUAUCCUCAAUUUGUUUUCAAAACAUUGCUUGCACAGUUAUCCUAUUCAAAUAGCAUGGGGCUAGAUAAUAAAGGCAUUCCCCAUCGAUGAAACAGAUACCACGACCUCCACAUCCUUGAGGCAGUAUACAAAACCUUUGUGGACCUUACCCCACAGCCUGAGGACGGUUGUAUACAAAUCUAUUGGUCGCAUUAAAUUAGAGGGAGUCUGUUUCAAGUGGCAAUCAGCUAGAUGACACAACCAAUGUUACCAAUCUAUCCUUCUCAACCCAUUUGCUCCACAUCCUUAUGGCAGAGUCCAGAAGUCCCUCACACGGCCCAACUGCCACUGCACACAACUAACUGUCUGAUUUUAUUCGCAACAGUUUUUGCGACAUCAAUUAUUUUCCAGCUGACUUACGAUUCUUUUCCAAUAUCCAGUUUAAUCCAAGUUUAAUCCAAGGAUUUACUAGUAGUCAACCCAUUAUGCAGGGAUCAUGCCAGUGGGAAGGGAGAACUCCAGGGAAGUGAAGUGGAUCAAUAUUUUACCAUUAGGUAAGGUGCUAUGCAUGUCAUACUAUUGAGUAACUUUAGAUAACACAGAUUCACAGAAUUCUCCUAGAUAACACAGAUUCACAGGAUUCUCCUCUACGCUCACAUAACACAUAAAAGAAUAGAGGAAACAAAUAUGGCUCCUCUUACAUUCCUAACAGAGUUUUCUUGUAACAUGUCCUAAAGUCUUCAAAGGCCAAAGAUAACCAAUACAAUAACAACUCUAGAUCUUAGCUUCACAUUGUUCUGACAAAUGAAGAAACCUCCUUCAAAUGCAUACUAUUUCACUAUUGAGUUAUCCCUUGCUACAAUGACAAAGAAAGAAGUAUAUAUUUUAAUAGUGGGAUUUUUCCUGGUCACAAAGGCAUUUAAAGUGAUCAAAACAUCACUUAUACAUAUUUGCAUAUUCAAACCGAACUUACCACUUCUCACCUUGACAAGCCUUUACCUUUGCAAAAGACAAAAUUCCACAUGCGCUAUAGAUCCAAUAGUCAACAUGUUGAUAUUAAACAAGUUUUUCUGUCCACAAACUAAGUUGAUAACCAAAUUAUCCAGUUAGAACAAGAAUAAUCAGAAAUUAUACAUGAUUAUUUAAUAACAAAUCCCAUCUUUUAAAAGAUAUUGCAAAACAAGAUUAUCAAUCUAUCAAAGAUAAAAACACAUUUGUUACUACAGUACGGUCUCCCAGCUGGAAGACCACAUAAAGACCUUACCAAAAAAAACUACAAAACAGACAACAGCUUUAUCAUUCUAGUUGAACCGAUAGAGUAAGCUUCUCUAAAAAAUGCACUCUAUAUAGUUGACAAAGAAAAGAAUAAAGUCAUCAGAUAUGCUACAGUUAAGUUACAAAGAAAACUACACGGCUACCUGAUAAGGCAAAAUUGAGUUUUUAUAAAUUUAUCAAAUGUAUAAACUGAAAAAUGAGAUGCAUGACCAAGUGAAGUCAGAAACAAAUUCAUAAAACCAAUUAAGGGAACAACAUACCACGUUAGUGUAUAAUUGAGGUGGUCCUGUGGCAUGACUGAAUGACGAAUUAAGGUGUUCACGUCUUUUGGAACAGGAUAAGGAUUCGUGGCAUUGGCAUCCUCGUUAAUGUCUUCUAUAUAAACAGUAUUCUCUGGAAGACCACAGGUAGAUGCAAUCAUGGGAGCAUCAACAUAAAACCACUGGCCAGUACUGGGAUCAUUUGCUGGAACAAAUAUGCUUGGCUUUUCACUUCCUCGGAUAACGCCUAAAACUUUUACAGUAGGAGUAAUAGGCUCUUCAGCCUACAAGCCCAAAAAUGCCAUUUGACAAACAUAAGUAAAUUAAAGUAAGCUUUCGAGUGCUUGCAUUAAUUAAAAGGAAAGUCUAAACUCCUUAUAACACACUAAGCAACUGCAUCAAACAGAACAAAGAGUAUGAUUUGCUCUAAUAAGUCUGAAUAUAGGAAUAUACAGGCAAAAGAAAGUUGACAUCAUAAAAAAGAAAAGAUAAAACUAAGCAAUUUAGGAAAGGGUUUCUAGAUGUUAGACUGUUGCAUGACCACCCAAAUUUACUGAAAUCUCCAUAUGGCCAGAAAGGCAAGGAAGAAGAGUCAAUGAGAGGGAGAAGUUGGCAUGAAAAGUCACAGAUCUGGCAAUCAAUUAGUAUCCCGAAAUAAUUUCAAAAUAUAUAUUAUCAGUAUUUCUCAAAACUGGACUGCAAGGGAAGAUAGCACAAUACAACAAAACAUAAACAGAAAAAUGGAAGGAGCUACUUUUAUAUACUGCUCCACAAAAGGGACAAAUGCCAAGCAGGCAUGUCUUUUCCUACAAUGUAAUUUAAUUUAAAAACUAUUUUUGUAUUUUGCGCGUAACAAAGAAGAGUGUAAAAUUAACAGGGUUUAAUAGAUAAUCAAGAAAAGGAAUAGAAAGAAAAAAAAAAUCAACACAUGCAACUCCAUUUGCCUAUCCUCAAAUUCCUACACUCCUCUCUUAGAGUUUCUAAUCAAUUGAAUCACACCUUUGGCUAUGGUUUGAUUUGCUUCUAAACCUCCUAGAUGAUAUAUCAUUACUUAGCUUUUGACCAUGUUCUGCAAUUUUGCCUCUCCACAACUCCUCUCUUAAGCUCCGUCUCUAGAUAUAUUCAAGAUUUUCCAUCUAAAUAGAGUAUACAGGCACAAAAUGGCUUGUAACGUGUUUCAACUCAGUUUCAGAUAAUAUAGAGUAUCCAAACAUUUUGAUGCACAUAGAACUACCAGGGUAACUACAUCAGAUUACAAAGUUACCAGCAGUUUAAUAAAGACUGAAAAAAUAAAAAUAAAAACCCUACUAAAUGAAAGGUAAAUAACAAAUAAUCAAUUAUAACCUUCGAAACUGUAGGCUUCUUAGACCAAAAUCUCCACCAGGCACCUUCCCCAUUUGGCGUGAUGUCAGCUUCUUUUGAUUCUAAAGCUUUCUCAAGAUUCUCUGAAUCUUUUAUAUUCUUGUCACGCCAGCCUCUAGGAACCCAUCCUCUGUUAACAAGGACGGGUGUCUGCAAACUGACAAAAUAUUAAGUAAAAGAUUAUACUGGAAAAAGGAAAUAGGUUAGGCCAUGAAAUAACUCAUUGACGAAAGACAAAAAGUCGUACUUAAUACAUGCGAUAAGUGGAAUGAUCUAGUAGUAGUACCCUGUUUGCGGUGUUUGAUCUACCUAAUAUAAUUUAUUGAUGUUUAGAAUCAAGUUUAAUUCAGAAGGGACAGAACACAGUAAUCGCAUUAACCACUUUAAGAAGGCAGUGCUUAGAGCCUGUUUGGUCCGACCAGACAUUCUAGAGAAGUUUGCCUGAGACAUCAGUAAAGCCACUCAAAGCCACAAGCUUAUUCAUUACAAACUCUCCAAUGGCAGUGUGCAGCAGCAGAAGCAGAAACUUCUGUUUCAGGGUCCAAAUAGAAUAAAGGCUAACCUUUAGAUCCAUCACAUGUAACAACUCUGAUCCAUCUCAGGAAACACUUACUUGAUGAAAGAAAAUGUUGGCUUCUUGGGAACCAAUUAAGGUAUAUACAACCUUGCUAUGUUAUUCCAGGUUAUGAGCACAAACUAAGGUUAUAUACAGCUUUCCUAUGUAUUGCUGCAUAUAGUUACAAACUUUACAGAAAAAUCGCAUCAAGGAUGGGUUGCUGCACAAAUCCUCGAUAGGUUGGUAACCUUCCUAAACCAUUUAUACUCAUCCCUCUUCCAUGUUUCUAAAUGCCUGAGUACAGAGUUUUUUGCCAUAAUCGUAACAGAAGGAUUUUGCUUUCAUUGAGCUUUUCCAAUAUGCUAUUCUUACGACCCAUUAGAAAACUGGGGGCAAAAAACCACAAGUAGAGCACAGUUUGUGCAGGGUUACAAUGUUGGAAGUUAAGACAUUCCCUUUGUAACAUAUGAUGGAUUAAAAAGUAGCCAUGUAUUGCUUUUCUUUUCCCCAAUAUUUGGUUAUGCAAAUUAAUUAACAUCAAAUCAACUAAUAGAUUUUAUAGUCAAGCGAUCCAGUGACUACAAGUUCACCACAAUGUAGGGUACUGAACGAUUCCUAUUGAAUAUAACGUGAAUAAUUCCACCAAGUAAUGCAAUUCUAACGACUUAAUUCUACAAUUAUUUAUAAACCAUGCAAUUCAAUGGUUAGAUUUCUUUCUUAUCUUGUGAAUCAUGCCUGUGCAAACCUAACAAUUAAAUAAAGCCAUUGUUUGCAUCCUAGACGCUGGUAAAAUUUAGCCGUAAGUAUAACAACACACUUCAACAACAUAAGCAGCUAUAUCCUUUCAUAAUGCCUCCAAGACAACUUGCUAAAUGAAUAAAAAGGCGAACAAUUACAAAAAUUAGAAAGAAGUUUCAACAACAUCCAUUCAUCCAGAAGCAAAGGAUAUCAAUUUUCCAUCCCAUAAGUUACCUGCCAUGCCCAGUUGCUCUCGGAACCAAUGGAGUAAUGACAUAAUACCCAUUCUCUGUCACUCCCGAAAUGCUCCGAGAACGCGGCCCGACAUAUAUCGACUUGCUCUCGUCGAAAUAACCCUCGCAAACAACCCUCCUGAACUCCAAGGAAGCCAAAUCCUCGCCUGUCGAAGGCCCCUCAUUCCACAUUAUGGGUUCCAUCUCCAAUCUCUUCUUCCUGUAAUCCAACAUCUCCAUCUGGAGAACAAAACCCAGCAAACCUAAUCCCGAUUAGAGCAAAGAUCCCGUCUCAACACUGUAUGAGGCAUUUCAUCAAACAGGUUACCUUCUCCUGCCUCCUGAAGAGUUGCCACGUCCCAAGGCCAAAAGUGAUGGCGCCGGGGAGGAAAAGAAACAGUUUCGACCAUAUUCCCCUUUCUUUCUCUGUGAUCCACACCCACACCCACCCACCCACCCACACACACACGUGAGAGACUAGGGCACCGAAAUGGUCCAAGUAGAAGAGAUAAACGGAUAGAGAAGCGAACCUUGCGACGGAGAUGGAGAUGCCGCAGUGGCGGAGGAGGAGGCNUGGUGGCGGAGGAGGAGGAGGAGGAGGAGGAGGAGGAGGAGGAGGAGGUGAUGGUGAUGGGAGAGAAGUGGAGAAGGGGGAAAAAGAGGGGAAGAGAGGGGAGCGGCGAGGAAUGGGGGGGAGGAGUUUGUGGGGUUUUAGGGUUUUGGAGAGCAGGAAGAAGAAGGCCAUUGGGACGCUUCUUUAAGCUGAGGCAUGCUCUAUGUAUCCUCUUGAGCUCUCCGUGCUCCCAUGGCGUUUGACCCUUUUAACACUUUAAACUCCCCCUUUUUUUUAAGAGGCUAAAAUACAUAAAAUCUCAUUAAAUACCCUUUUUUUUUUCUUUUUUUUUUUUUUACUUUCAAAAAAUUAUAUUUAAUUUUUAAACUUUCAGAAGAUUGUCUAUUAAUAAAAAGGACAAUCAAAUUAUUUUUACUUAUUUUAUAAAAAAAAUUAUAAUAUAUUACUGUUAUUUUUAAAAUAUUUUUUAUAUAAAUUAUAAAAAAAUCGACAAAAUAGUGGCAGAACUUUAACGAAAGUGGGCUAAUUACUUCAAUCUUAAAAUUUUGAGAAAAUAAUAUAUAAUAUUUUUUAAAAUUAAAAAAUAAAUAUUUACAGUAGAAUUUUCUAUAUUUUAGCAUUUUUCCUAAGUGGAUUUUUAGAAAAAUGUAUAUGUAUAUAUUCAUGCAGUGCAAAUACAAUCGUAUAGUUUUUUCAUAUACAUUUUUUUUUUUUUGUUGGCAAUUUUGUAGCUUUAUUAACACUCCUUUUGGAACAGGUUUGGGAUAAGAUAAAUGGAUUUGCUAUUAAAAUCAUCAAAAUAAAUUUUGUUUAAAAGCAAGAUGUAAAUUAAAAUUUUAGCUUUGAAACUAUGUGCUUUUUCAUAUGGUAGAAAUAAAGGAUUUAAGUAUCUAUCGGUACGGACUGUAUUUAUUGUGCUUUAUUGUGUCAAUAAGAUAUCCGUACGAUACAUCCCACUUGCCGAUGGCAUAUCUCAAAACCUUCUUUUUUUUUAUAUUAGUUAUCAAUUUGUUGAAUGGAGUUUAAAAGAUUUGAUAAAAAUACAUAAUAAGCAAUUAAAAAAUUUCGUUGCUGAAGACAAUAAAUAUUUCAUAUCAUCAUUUAUCAAUACAAAUGUAUUUUUUGUGAUUGACACGCAACGGUAUGACCCGGCACGUACCGCACUGACAAGUUUUCGACACAACCUUAUACCAUGACACUUAAAUUUUUGGUAGAAAUUUUAUAUUUUGCUGCUUUUAUAUCAGACACCCGUUUAUUCAGGUUUAAACAAAUUCUAAAAACUUAAUUUUAGUAAGCAUCGACCAAUUUUUCAUUAAAUUUUCC